This 55547-nucleotide long non-coding RNA is filed under the name Citrus maxima (pomelo). RNAcentral describes it as "long non-coding RNA (CMAX_LNC003005)". Lineage: Eukaryota; Viridiplantae; Streptophyta; Magnoliopsida; Sapindales; Rutaceae. The record is from RNAcentral.
UGGAUGUGGCGAGGCGUGGUCAAUAACAUGAGGCUGGUCGAAAUUGAUGCCCUUAAUAUAGGGGUACUUGGAAGUGAUGGCUUGAAGAGUAACGCCGAGAUUGCCACCAACAUCGACCAGUUGCUUGAUGUUGUCGAAGCCCUUGUAAGAUUCAAGAAUGUUGCUAAGAACCAGAGAGGUAUAGUUAUACAUUGUUGUGUUAAAAAGUUUAUUGAACCUAGGGUCCAAUCCUGCGUACUCAAAUAUACGCAUUCCAUGGGCUCGAUUAAAUGGAAUUCCUCCUUCAAGAAUAGCAUCUUUGAGUUGGGACCUACAAAAAUUCCGAAAAACCAAUUUAUCAUGCAUCGUAUAUAUAAAAGCUCCAUGCAUGCAUGCAUGGUCUAGCUGAUCAUUUACUGAGAAAAAGAGAGAAAUAGAAAUUAAUGAAUUACCAGCUCUCCAGAAGGACCUUGUCCUGAAUGAAUUGUAUUAGGGAGCCUAAUAAGACGCCAUCUUUGUUAGGCACAUAGUAUUUGGAGACAAUAUUCAAACUAUAUAGUCUUCGGGCACAAGAAGUAUCAAGUGAGCAUUCAACAACACUGUAGCUAGCCAGAAGCCUGAGAAUCCGAUCCAGCAUCAUGGGUGCGUCUUUGUUCUUAGUGAGCAACUGGGCUGCAAUAUCUGAAGCAGAGAGCUUUGCACCAGGACCAGCUUUGUCUAUGAUCUCGAAAAUGCCUAGCUCAUACACCGCUUGCAUGGCCAUGGGUAGCACUGUACCCAUCGCCAAUUGAUCAGCAUAUGCAAAGCUUUGGUCUCUUUCUCCAUCAACUAUAGAAUCCAUUUUAAGUUUCUUGAAUUUCUUCUAUGCUUUGCGGGGUUUCUUGUUUGGCCAGGGGGUUAUAUAUAUAGACUUGUUCAUUCAAAACUAUUAGGAGAAGCAUGUCAACCACAUGUUUUCUACUGUAUCAAAUCAUAGUUUGAUGAGGGGCGUCUCUUCCUCUAGGUAAUUUAGGCAAUUGCCUAGGGCCCACUGUAAAUGAAGGUCCCAAAAUUUUCUCCAACAUUAUAACUAUUAAAUUAUUCAUUUAUAUUUAUAUUUAUUAUUCUAUAAUAAUCUUUGUUCAAAUAAAUUAUCAAAUUCCCACAAAAUCUCUUUUUAAUGUUGGAAUAAACAAUUUUAAUUCUAUUUAUUCCCACAAAAUCUCUACUUAGUGUUAUUUCAUUUAAAACUCUAUAAAAGUCACACAUUUGUUAACUUAUUGUCCAUUAAUAUUUUUAUCAAUUAAAAGAAAAAGCACGAGACAUUCAAUACUUCAAUGCAUAAGGAAAAAAAGUUUUAUUUAUUUAUUUUUACUUAAGAGAAAAAUUAACUAUUUCCAUUGAUCAUUGCUGUUUAAAACUUCAAUCCAUCAAAUAUCCAAGUUUUUUCUUCUUAAUUAGUUGUGUUAUUCAAUUGUUAUUGUUUCUUUUUUAAAUAUUGUUGUUGUUUUCUUUUAAUUAUCCAACAUAAUUGUUUGCUUGUUUUCUCUUCUUUCACUAAAAAAGAAAAAAAUGUCUAAUAGAAAAUGUGCAUCAAGAUACAAAAAACUUGGAAAAAAAAGAGAAGAAUGAAAAAAUUAGUUCGAUUUAAAAAAGGAGCUCUUGAUAAGUUUGUCAAAAAUAGUAAAAAAAAAUAUGAAUUAUAGUGAAGAAUUAGUAAUUGACGAAGUUUUUCAAAAUUAAAAUUAAUAAAACUUAUUUAAGAUCAAAUAAGUCAUAAGAAAAGUUAAAUGAUUUAUCUAUAUUGAGAAAAAUAUAUUAGCGAAAUUAGAAUAUAAAAAUUUCAGUAAUAAUUUUGCACCUAAGAAAGUUAGAAAAAUUAAUUUUAAAUAAAUAACUUUUUAGCAAAAUUAAUACAUAUAUUUGACCUUAAAGUUUUUAAAAGGCCUAAUUAAAGUAAUUCGCCUAAGGCCCAAAAUUAGUUGAGCCGCCCAUUCACGGGACAUAUCCAGACAAUAGACAUUAAUGCUGCGUUUACUUUUUGGAUUGGAGUGGGAAUCCUGAGGAGUGAGAAUCCUUGGAUUAGGAGUGUGGAGUGGGAGUGGGAGUAGGGUGUUUACUUAGACUAAAUGAAAGUAUAGAUUGUCAAUCAGAAUCCUAAUUAUUUGUUUACUUUGUCUUGGAUUGGGAGUAAAUUAUUUUAAAUUACAAUUUUAUCCUUAUGUACAGAAUUAUAAUUUGUAAUUAAAAAAUUAAUAAAAAAUAUAUUUGAAAAAUAAAAUAAAUAUUUUAUUAUAUUUAUAAAUUAAUAAUAAUUACUAAUAUUCUUAAUUAUGUAAAUCAUAAUUUUUUAUUAAUUUAAAUUUGAAUUAUGUGAAUAAAAAUUAUUAUUAAUAGCAACACAAAUGAAAUAUUAUUAUUGAUAAUAUAGUACAAAAUUAAUAUUUUUUUAGAAUAAAAUAUUUAUUAUUAUUAAUUAAAUAAUUAAUUAAUAUUUAUUAAAAUUAAUGUUUAAUAUUAUUAAUUUAAAUAUUUAUUUAUUUAUUUUUAUUUUAUUAAAUUUAAUAAAAUAAAUAUGAUAUAAUUAUUAUUUUUAAUAAAUAUGAUAUUAUUUAUUUUAUUAAAUAUUAUUUAUUUAUUUAUUUUUAUAAGGAUAAAAUGGGAAGAGGGGGGAGUAGAUUCCCACUCCCACCUCCCCCCAUGGGAGUGGGAAUCCCACUCCCCACUGCAAAAUUGGGUGGGACCCAUGGAUUCCCACUCCCACUCCCCCUUUUUUUAAGGUAAAUAAACACUGGAGUGGGAGGAAUCCACACUCCUCACUCCCACUCCAACAAGUAAACACAACCUAAGCGAAGACCAAAAUUAUUAUUUAAUGCUAACAUGUUUAAUCCUUUAUUCACAGAUAAUUACGUGAUGCGAAGAGAGCUGUUCUUCCAUAAAAAUUUACGUACGGCUCGUUUUCUUUGGUGAAUUAGUAAUUACUGGAAUUCACGUGCUUGAAAAUCAUGUGUAUACUGGUUGUCAAUUUCAAAAAGUCAGGGCUGCAGCAUGAAAAAGACAAAAGAUGCCAUAAAAUUCUUUUUGGACUCUGAAGGCAUUUGCAAUUACGUGCAGGUGUUAAACACAGAAGAAAUUAAAAAAAGUUAAUCAAAUGAGGCUGCUUAUGAAGGCAUUUGCAAUACGGCUCUUUUUUUACCUUCCUCUGGGGGCUGCUGUCUCCAAAAGCCAAAGUUUAGCUUUCUUUACUUCUUUAAAAUAGGCCCCACCUCUUAAAAUAUUAUUAAUAACCAUCAAAAUUAUCAUCGGAUUCUGGAAGUUGCAUCUGUAAACAUCAAUUAGCAUUGGCACUGGUUUUAGGGGCAGUAAUUUUCUUAUUCAUUGAAAGUAAUCAACCAGAAAUAUCUCAUAAUAAAUUAAAGAAAAGACAUACAAAUAAUAACUAAUCAUCGCCAAUCUGGAGAUUGAUGUUGAAUGAAAAAAUCGCAGAGAUAUUUAGGCCAUUGAGCUUAGACAAGAUCCUAGUUCUUCACAGUUGUCGUGUGCUUCGGCAGCAUCGGCACAACUGUUGGGGAAAAAUUAGGUUUUUAAAUUUUUUAUAAAAUUUUUUGAAGAUCGCUCUCAUAUAAUAUAUAAGAAUUUGUAUUCUAGAAAUCGUACCUUGAAAAUCCGAUUUGGCUUUUUCCGUUGAAGUGAUUUAGGCUCCUAGAUCACGAUCCGCCACCACCACUCCUGUUAGAUCACGAUCCGUCACCACCACGCUUGUUAAAUCACGAACUGUCACUAAUGAUCUUCCAGGUUAUGAUUCAGGUUCGAUCUGCACUCGACGUGUGGGCGCCUUUAUCACUACCAAAGCAACUAGCACGAGAAAAUUUUUCUCUCAAUAAAAUAUAAUUCUUCUGGUAUCAGAGCCAAGGGGAGGAUAGUGUAAUAUAGUUUAGAGACUUUGUGUUUAGAGACUUGUGUUUUAUUUUAAUUCUUGUUUGUAUGGUGAAUCCCUUACUGGUAGUAAGUCCCGCUUUAGGAUAAGACUUUCCGCUUAGAGCAGUAAAACCAUACCUGUAGCCAUACUGACAGGCCUUAGAGUAGAUCAUAGGUUUUUUAUUCAUGGAUUCUCUGCACUGUAGAGCAUCGUCCUUUUCUAGCUCUUCUUCUGGAAGAACUAGCGAUUCAAAGAAUGUUGUGAAUUCUGAAGAAUUUGUUAUCGAAUGCUUCAAUAAAGCAAUUGAUGAUUGGGAAUUACCAAAGGUUAAUAAAGAAAUGAUUUACAAAACAAAAAAGCUUGAUUUUCUAAAAAAUGAUUAUGUUAUAAAGACCGAAGAACGCGACAUAACCCUUUCAAAGCCUUUUGAAACAAUUCAUUUGUUUUCAGAACAAUCUUUAAAGAAAUUAAAAGAUAAACAUUUUAAUUAUAUUCACAUCGGACUAAUACAAGUCGGCAUAAAACCUCUAACAAAAGAAGGUCUUGAUACUUCUAUCCUUAUUGUCCUAAGAGAUGGCCGAUUCAUCUCUUUUGAUGAUUCUUUACUAAGUAGUAUAAAAUCAAGUCUUUGUAAAAGUCCCAGUUCAUUUAAUUGUUAUCCAAACAUAACAAUUUCCUUAAAAGAUAAAAAAAUUUUAAAAAGCAUGAUUUUACAAAUAAAAACUCAUAAUUAUCAUAUGAUUGAGGGAUCUGUCCCAGUAGCUUUGAUUUUUAAAAUCUCGUACAAAGCAAUGAUCUCUGCGUUUAGUACGCAACAUAAAUUCCAGUCAAAAAGAGACGAGACUCUUCUCUUACAGACUGAUCUGUCUAGAGCAAAUACUGUCAUUCCAAAACCAAUACAAUGGAAAGAUAUCAAUCUUCCAGAUGAAUGGAUUCUUGAAGGUGCCACUGCACCAGUGAUUCCGAAACAACUUGAACCAAAUACAGAGUUGCAAAAUGUGACUCAGUAUUUCGAUGGAAAAGUAAAACUGUCCUUUAGGAGAUCUAUAUCUUCUAGAUACUCCGAUAAAGAUUCAUGUUCGAGCAUCCCUUCAUUAGAAAGAAAAUUCUCAAAAAUCCCUUCUGUUAUAAAUCUCCCUUUUCAACAAGAAAAAAGUCAACCUAGGUUCUCUACUUCGGAUAUACCUAGUUCUUCUAUACGUUCAGUUGACUACACUACUAGUGUUCCUCACCCAAUUUACACUAGUAGUCAACAUGAGCAAAAACAGGAAGAAAAGGAACCUUCUCCUCCAACUUCUCCUACAUUUUCUACUGUCACAGAAAAUAUAAUAAAUGUCAUAGAAAAAGACUUUGAACUGGAUAAAACUCUUAUUCACAAUGAUUUUUAUUCAGAUAAUAAUAAAGAAAAAAGACUUUGGUUUUUUAAACAUUUUCUAAAUCAAAGAAAAGAAAUCCAAGAGACAUAUUAUGAAUUUGUGAAUUCGCAUAAAAUUCAUAUAUUGUUUUUUGAUUGGUUUGAGAUAUAUUCUUCCAAUAACAACAUCUCUUAUCCCUUUAAAGAGUCAAACCCUAUUACUGUUAGGAAGAAAACCCCUGAGUGGAAUCUUUCUGAUAGCAAUAGAACCAUAGAAUCUGAACAUCCACCUCUUAGGAGUUUAACUAUUAACCAUGGUGAACCUCCUGUUGAGAUUAGAGCCUCACCUUACAAAAUCCCAAAACCAAAUGAUUCUGAUGCGAAUUUAAGUAGUAUUAUUCAACAUAAUAAUUUCUGUAAUACUAACUUAAAUACUAUAGGAAAACAGUUAACUAGGAUAGAAAGCCAGUUCCAAAAGUCAACCAUAAUUGUUUCUCCUGUUUCAUCAAAAUCGGAUUCUGACAAAAAGCUUAAGGAACCUAUUUUCAAACCUUUCCAGGUUUCGAAAACUAGUCAAAAGCUUGUUCAAGAGUCAAAAUCAGAUUUUGCUAAAGCCAUUAGAGACCAAUUAGAUAGAAUAGAAGCUUCUUCUUCUUCUUCUUCUAAGGUCCAGAUAGCCCCUGAUAGUGCCCAAUUUAGCAAGAUUGGUAUCCUAGAGCAUGACAAUGUUUCUAUAGCCUCUUCAAACAUAGAAGCAUUUAAGGAAGAACCAUCUAAAGCCAACAAAAUCCAUUGGGAUUUAGCCAUACCUACUGUCAAGACCUCACCAGAUCUAGCUAUAGAUAAUAGACCGAGUGCCUUAAAUCAAUCACGAUUUAACGCAUCUUCUGUCUAUGAGUGGAAUAUUGAUGGUAUGUCUGAGUACAACAUCCUAGGAUUGUUGCAACAAAUGACCAUGGCAGCCAAUGGCUAUAAAACUCAGGCGGGAACUUCUGAUAGAGCCAUAGCAGAAAUUCUUGUUGCUGGUUUUACUGGUCAACUUAAAGGUUGGUGGGAUCAUCUCCUCACUAAACAACAACAAUUAGAUAUCCUAAAUUCCAUUCAAUUAGAUGAGGAUAGAACCCCUAUUCUUGAUGAGUUCAAUAGUCCAAUUCAAGAUGCUGUUGCUACCUUGAUUCUGACUAUAUCCCUUCAUUUCAUAGGUGACCCUUCUCACCUUAGGGACAAGAAUGCUGAGUUACUACACAACUUGAGGUGUAGAAAACUUAGUGAAUUCCAGAGCUAUAAAACCACUUUCUUCACCAGACUUUUCCUUAGGGAUGAUGCAAACCAUAUAACUUGGAAGGAGAAAUUCCUUGCAGGUUUACUUACCCUACUAGGAGAAAAGGUUAGGAAUUCCAUUAAGGCCUUUUAUGAUAACCGCAUUCCUUAUGAUGAGCUUACCUAUGGUGAACUUGUCAGUUUUGUCAAUAAGGAAGGUUUAAAGAUUUGUCAAGAUUUGAAGUUACAGAAACGACUAAAAUGGGAGCUGAAGAAGUCUAAGCAAGAAUUAGGCAGUUUCUGUAAACAAUUCAAUUAUGACCCCUUUAAAACUUCUACUUCCAAAGAUUGUAAUGGUAAGUGUUCUACAAAACCUUACAAGAAACAUUACAAAUCAAAUCCCAUAGGAAACCCUUUCGAGACUUUAGAGAACCUUUUUAUAAGAAACCUUCGAGACCUUAUAAGAAGCCCAACUUCUCUAAAAAGAAAGAGUUUAGAACCAAACCAAAAACCCCGUUUAAUUAUAAAGAAGCCACAUGUUACAAAUGUGGAAUGAAAGGCCAUACUGUAAAAUUUUACAGAAUGAACAGAAAGCUCCAUGAGCUUGGCCUUGAUGAAAAAACCCUCUCCAAAGUUGCCUCUUUGCUUAUAGAGUCCUCUGACUCUGAGUCUUCCAUGACGGGAGAUAGUGAACCUCUGCAGGUUGAUGAGUUAAAUGACUCUGAAUCUGUUUCCUCGAGUGAUUCGGACACCAGCAAUUCAGAUUCUUAUUUAAAGAAAAUCAAUGUUUUGACUAAAGAUCAAGAAAUCUUUCUCGAACUUGUUAAACAUAUCUCUGAUCCGAAUCACCAGAAAGAAUACCUUGAUAAACUUUUAAAGACCCUAGAUUCUAAUAAAUCAGAAACUUCUAAAGUUCUAAUUGCUAAAAAGAAUUCUUAUGACCUUACUGAAAUUUUGGACAAAAAGAAAACAAAGAAAACAAUCCCUAAUAUCCAAGAUCUUCAGAAAGAAAUCAAAGAAAUCAAACUACAGAUUAAAGAAUUAAAAGAGAAACAAAAGAAUGAUUCUGAUACUAUUCAACUUCUCUUACAAAAAUAAUUAGAAGAUAAUUCUAAUAAAGAAGUUGAGUCUGAUGGUGAUAAUGAAGAAAACCUUGAAAACAUUGAAUCUAUACCCAAUGAUUUCCUGUUUGUUUUAAAACAAAUCACCACCAGAAAGUAUUUGAUUAAAAUCACUCUAAUUACCCAAUGAAAUUGACACCAUUGCCCUAUUUGACACUGGUGCCGACUUAAAUUGCAUUAAAGAAGAUAUUGUCCCUAAAAAAUUCCAUGAAAAGACAAAUGAGAGACUCUCAGCCGCCAAUAAUUCAAAACUAAAAAUUAAAUCAAAAGUUGAUGCCUCAAUACAUAACAAUGGUUUUGAAUUUAGAACUUCUUUUCUUCUUACAAAUGACAUACAUCAUACUGUCAUUUUAGGAACUCCAUUUAUAAAUCUCAUUACCCCGUAUACUGUCAAUUACGAUAGUAUAUCUUUUAAAGCAAAAUCCAAAAAGCUUGUUUUCCCUUUUAUUGAGAAACCAAAAACAAGAAAUCUAAAUAUUGUUAAAGUUUGUUCUGUUUAUCAGAAUCAAAUCAAUACCAUACUUAAAUCUAAACAGAAUAACUUGUUUUGCUUAAAAAAGGAUUUAAGUCUACAAAGAAUUGAAAGCCAAUUACAAAAUGACUUUAUACAAAAGAAAAUCUCUGAUUUUAAAAAUCUCAUUGAAAAAGAAAUAUGCGCUGAUUUACCAUCUGCUUUUUGGGAAAGAAAACAACAUUUGGUAGAUUUGCCCUAUGACAAUUCUUUUGAUGAAAAACAAAUACCCACUAAAGCUCGUCCAAUCCAAAUGAACAUGAAAUUAGAACAACAUUGUAAAAAUGAGAUAAAAGACUUAGAAACCAAAUGACUCAUUGUAAAGUCCAGAUCCCCAUGGUCUUGUGCCGCUUUUUAUGUUAAUAAAAACUCCGAAAUAGAAAGAGGAACACCGAGACUUGUAAUAAAUUACAAACCCUUGAAUAAAGCAUUAAAAUGGAUUAGGUAUCCUAUACCUAAUAAAAAAGAUUUGCUUCAAAAAUUGUGUUCUGCCUUUAUUUUUUCAAAAUUUGACAUGAAAUCUGGUUUUUGGCAAAUCCAAAUUCACCCUAAAGACCGUUAUAAGACUGCUUUUACUGUUCCUUUUGGACAGUACGAAUGGACUGUAAUGCCAUUUGGAUUAAAAAAUGCACCUUCAGAAUUUCAAAGAAUCAUGAAUGACAUUUAUAAUCUUUAUUCUGAGUUUUGCAUUGUUUACAUAGAUGACGUGUUGAUUUUUUCUCAAACAAUUAAUCAACAUUUCAAGCAUUUAAAAACCUUUUAUCUUGCCACCAGGAAGGCUGGUCUAGCCCUUUCUAGUUCUAAAGUUUCAUUGUUCCAAACAAAAGUUAGAUUCCUUGGUCACUAUAUUUCUAAAGGAACUAUCACCCCUAUUGAACGAUCACUUUUGUUUGCGGAUAAAUUUCCUGAUAAAAUUCUUGAUAAAACACAACUACAAAGAUUUUUAAGAAGUUUAAAUUAUGUUCUUGAUUUCUGUCCUAAUAUUAGCCGGAUGUCUAAACCUUUGCAUGAUAGAUUAAAAAAGAAUUCUGUUGCAUGGACUGAUGAACACACUAAAGCUGUUCGAUUGAUAAAAAAUUCUGUCAAGAAUAUUCAUUGUUUAUUCCUGGCAAAUCCUACAUUACCUAAAAUAGUUGAAACUGAUGCAUCUGAUUUAGGUUAUGGAGGUAUAUUAAAACAAAAAGAAAGUAAUAAAGAACAGAUAGUACAAUAUGUUUCUGCACAUUGGAAUGAUUGCCAGAAAAAUUAUUCUACUAUCAAAAAAAAAAUUCUUUCUAUUAUUUUGUGCAUAUCUAAAUUCCAAAGUGGUUUAUUAAAUAAAAAAUUUUUGCUUAGAAUUGAUUGCAAAGCCGCAAAACAUGUUUUGAAAAAAGAUGUUCAAAAUAUUACUUCAAAACAAAUCUUUGCAAGAUGGCAAGCCAUUUUAAGUGUUUUUGAUUUCGAUAUUGAGUUUAUUAAAGGAGAUACAAAUUCUGUCCCUGAUUUUCUAGCUAGGGAAUUUCUUCAAAACAAAUAAAUGCCGCCCAAAAAGAAAGACAAAGGGAAAGGGAUUCUCAAAGAACAUGUGUCCCAAACACCUUCCAAAGCUUCCCAAACCUCUCCACCUAAAGAAAAAUUACUUUCCUCUGCCAUGCCAAUCAAAUCUUGGAUCGACAUGAUAGAAGAUCAAGAAGCCCAGUCCAAAGCCCUUGCCUCUCAUGAGCAGGUAAAUGAAUGGAUGAAAUCCAUUUCUAAAUCUCCUGAGCUUAUGCUCGCUUUACAGAGUUUUUCUCAAAGCCAAAUUUCUCCUAAAGAAGAUGUUGAAAAAGAAAAAUCUAUUUCCAAAGAAAUUUCAAAACCCUCUUAUCAAAAUGUAGUUGUUUUUGGUGAAAGUUCAUCUUCUCAAAUUGUGCUUUCCCAGCCAAAACUUUCAAAGAAAUCUUCCGAUUGGUUUGAUAAAACCCACUUCCAAAAUAUUUUAUCUAUGGAAGAUGGUUUUUACCAUACUGAUCCUUUCCAAGCUAUUUCAAAGUUUUUCCCUAAAGGCUGGUUUUUCAAACCAUGGGAUUUGACAAAACCCCAGUCUUAUUAUCAAAGCAUUUUAGAAGCCACUGAGUCAGUAAAAUUCAAACAUUUCUUUCUCAGUGAACCCAUUCAGAGCCAGCCUAUUCCACGGCUACUAUCCUAAAGGUCUUGAGCCCAAACCAGUAGGGUGAUCAACUUCACAAACAAAAACCUUCCCUCCAAAUUUUCAAAUGCGUUUACCACAUUGUUUGACUUAUUCCUAUUGGGAUUACCAACAAGCCUGGUAUAACACAUUUUUUUAUCCAAAACCCCAAAAAAUCUCACUCUUGGUUAUUUUUCUUCAAUUCAAGAAUAACCGUUCAAAGCCUCCCAAACUAGUUUCAACAUUGGUGGAAUUCUUUUGGCCCAAUCCCCCAGAUCCUAACUCCAAAUGCCACACAUUGUUUAAACCUCUUUAAAGCCCACUAUAUUCCUUCUGACUCCGAGAAAAGGUUUCCCCCAUUUCUUUGUUUUGGUACAAAUUUCUUCCUUCCAUGGGUAUGGAUGUGGAUCUCAGAUUUUAUACCCAAGAUGCUCAGCUCAUCUUACAAAGAACAUUCAAAGUAAAAUGGUGGUCGAAGUUUGACGAACAGUCCAAAUUGACAGACACUCUGAUUCGCAACUUGCUCUGUUAUAAAGGAUUCUUACCCCCAACGAUUAAAGCCGUAAAGGCCCAAGAAACCUUUCUAACCCAAAAAUCCAAAGCCCAAUCUCUUUUGGCCAGCGCCAAAUCUGAAGAAGAAUAUUUUAAAGUUAUGGAGCAGCUCCUCACCUCAAGAUCAGACUCCUCUGAUGAUGAUGACCAAGAUGAAGAGCCAUUUAUUUCUCUUGGAGAUGAAAAUGAGGACGACUGCUUCAGAAUUUUCUCUCCAGUAAAGCAUUGUAAAUAAUUAUUGUGUAUUAAAAAAAAAUAUUCCAGUAUUUGUAUUCCUCUCUUUUAUUUUCGAAUUUUGUUCGUAUAGGUUGUACCCUCGGGUGGUCCCCUGGACACAAGUGAGAGCGCACAUGUCUCUUCACCCGAAUUAUAUUUGUAAAGACUGUACCAUCCAAAGACUACUGUUUCAAGCUACAGUUUCGCUACAGUGGAGAAGCUACAGUUUCGCUACAGUGGAGAAGCUACAGACUCGCUACAGUUAAAAAAUCUCUGUAUUUAAAUCGAGAGGAAGACUUAGACUCCUCAGAUUUUUUAGUUUUGAGUUUUUCAAUUCUCUCUCUCUCUCUCUCUCUCUCCCCCUCUCUCUCUCUGGGAAUCAGGAAUCCGAAGACAUCAAGGAAUUCUCCUGUCUUCAGAUUAAUUUCCUAUUUCUUCUGUAGAAUAGUAUUCAAAGAAACAAAGAAAGAAAAAUCAAAUGUAAGAUCUAUAAUUCCUUUCAAAGAUUGUAAUUAAUUUAAAGUUCUGCAUGUUUAAUUUCCGCAAUUUACUUUAAAGCAAUUUACUUUAAAGCAUUUCAAUUCCAGUAAUUUAAAUUUUAUGCAUACUUUGCAGACUAAUCUCUAUCAGCUCUGCCAUAAAACUGCUACGUUCCUCUGAGGCAACGAGACCAGAUCUCUAUCCUCAGUUGUAUCUUCUUUUCUCCCCCCAUCCAUUCAGAGUGCUACUUCUGGGAUCCAGAUCUAGUACUAUCUAUGAGCCUUUAGAUCUGUUGCUAGGCUUGUUUAAAGAACCUAAUUCAUAUUCGGUAAAGCACUUGAGUAUAUCGGCUGGAAAACAGAACGUGCGUGAUAUUGAUCUGUUCUAAGUCAGAUCUGGUCACAAAGGCAGAUUAAGUUCUGCAUCAAGGGAUAUAGUCCCUAAGGUGAGAAGGGUCACCUAUGAAAUGAAGGGAUAUAGUCAGAAUCAAGGUAGCAACAACAUCUUGAAUUGGACUAUUGAACUAAUCAAUAAUAGGGGUUCUAUCCUCAUCUAAUUGAAUGGAAUUUAAGAUAUCUAAUUGUUGUUGUUUAGUGAGGAGAUGAUCCCACCAAUCUUUAAGUUGACCAGUAAAACCAGCAACGAGAAUUUCUGCUAUGGCUCUAUCAGAAGUUCCCGCCUGAGUUUUAUAGGCAUUGGCUGCCAUGGUCAUUUGUUGCAACAAUCCUAGGAUGUUGUACUCAGACAUACCAUCAAUAUUCCACUCAUAGACAGAAGAUGCGUUAAAUCGUGAUUGAUUUAAGGCACUCGGUCUAUUAUCUAUAGCUAGAUCUGGUGGGGUCUUGACAGUAGGUAGGGCUAAAUCCCAAUGGAUUUUGUUGGCUUUAGAUGGUUCUUCCUUAAAUGCUUCUAUGUCUGAAGAGGCUAUAGAAACAUUGUCAUGCUCUAGGACACCAAUCUUGCUAGAUUGGGCACUAUCAGAGGCUAUCUGGACCUUAGAAGAAGAAGAAGAAGAAGCUUAUAUUCUAUCUAAUUGGUCUUUAAUGGCUUUAGCAAAAUCUGAUUUUGACUCUUGAACAAGCUUUUAACUAGUUUUCGAAACCUGGAAAGGUUUGAAAAUAGGUUCCUUAAGCUUUUUGUCAGAAUCCGAUUUUGAUGAAACAAGAGAAACAAUUAUGGUUGACUUUUGGAACUGGCUUUCUAUCUUAGUCAACUGUUUUCCUAUAGUAUUUAAGUUAGUAUUACAGAAAUUAUUCUGUUGAAUAAUACUACUUAAAUUCGCAUCAGAAUCAUUUGGUUUUGGGAUUUUGUAAGGUGAUGCUCUAAUCUCAACAGGAGGUUCACCAUGGUUAAUAGUUAAACUCCUAAGAGGUGGAUAUUAAGAUUCUAUGGUUCUAUUGCUAUCAGAAAGAUUCCACUCAGGGGUUUUCUUCCUAACAGUAAUAGGGUUUGACUCUUUAAAGGGAUAAGAGAUGUUGUUAUUGGAAGAAUAUAUCUCAAACCAAUCAAAAAAAAAAAUAUAUGAAUUUUAGAGACUUGUGUUUUAUUUUAAUUCUUGUUUGUAUGGUGAAUCCCUUACUGGUAGUAAGUCCCGCUUUAGGAUAAGACUUUCCGCUUAGGGCAGUAAAACCAUACCUGUAGCCAUACUGACAGGCCUUAGAGUAGAUCAUAGGUUUUUUAUUCAUGGAUUCUCUGCACUGUAGAGCAUCGUCCUUUUCUAGCUCUUCUUCUGGAAGAACUAGUGAUUCAAAGAAUGUUGUGAAUUCUGAAGAAUUUGUUAUCGAAGACUUCAAUAAAGCAAUUGAUAAUUGGGCAUUACCAAAGGUUAAUAAAGAAAUGAUUUACAAAACAAAAAAGCUUGAUUUUCUAAAAAAUGAUUAUGUUAUAAAGACCGAAGAACGCGACAUAACCAUUUCAAAGCCUUUUGAAACAAUUCAUUUGUUUUCAGAACAAUCUCUAAAGAAAUUAAAAGAUAAAAAUUUUAAUUAUAUUCACAUCGGACUAAUACAAGUCGGCAUAAAACUGAAAUACAAGUAUGCAACCCAAGAGGGGGGUGAAUUGAGAUUCUAAAAAAUUAUUCAAUUUAUUAAAGAAAAUCUUAAUGCAAUUAUAAAUCAAAUUCAAAGCAAUAACAAUUAAGAUGAUCACAAUAUAAAAAGAUAAGGGAAGAGGGAUUCAAACACCGAGAUUUUUACGUGGUUCGGCCAACCUCGCCUACGUCCACGCCUCCAAGCUUUCCGGGCUUGAGGAUUCCACUAAGCAAGCCUCCAAGGCUUCAAAUGCUUACACUUGACUUCCAAGGUGUCAAUGGACCUUUACAACAAGAGAUUAUCCCCAAUCUCUUAACCCAAGUGUAUCCCAACACUUACAAUCACUCAAAGUAAAAGAUUACAAACUGUUUUGCCUCUCACAAUAUAUAAGAUUACACAAUGAUGCUUAAUAUGUGAAUAGAUGAAGCAAGAAUGUGUUCGAAGCUCUAUGAAGAUUGUAUUCUCGAAUAUUAGCUCAAAUGGUCGUGUUGUGAUCAACCUUCUUUGAAUUUGAAUGAGCUUAUUUAUAUCUGGAGCUGAAAAUCUAGCCGUUACAAACUGUCGGACAGAAAACGGUUCGCCGUUAACCCUAAACGGUUAACCGUUUCGGUUGGUCAAAGUUACCGUUGGGCCAGAUUUCAAAUAAACGGUUUGCCUUUUGUAAUUAACCUUUAGCCGUUAACUACCAGAGACCUGCAAGAUGAGCAUUUGUUAUUCGUUUACGCUAAACGGUUAAGGACUUGCGUGAAGUAACGUUUCUGGAUAUUAUCGGUUAACCGUUUGAAAUAAACGGUUCGCCGUUUGUCUCCAGUAACCUGCAAAACAAUUUAGCAUUAUCAGUUUUCGUUAAUCAGUGCCAGAGGAGGACAACCUUCAAUUCUGGACAUUAUCGGUUAACCGUUUAAAAUAAACGGUUCACCGUUAAGUUCCAGUAGCCUUUCCAUUCUUGGUGAUUUCCGUUUUUCAUAAACGGUUAGAGCUUUAGGCAUUAUGUCGCUCUCUGGUGUUAAUCGGUUAACCGUUUAAAAUAAACGGUUCACCGUUAAGUUCCAGUAACCUUCCCAUCUUUUGUGUUUUCCAUUUUUCAUAAACGGUUAGAGGUUUAUGAAAUAUGUUGCUCUCUGCCUUUAAUCGGUUAACCGUUUAUAACCAGAAUUGCAAUUUUAAACUAGUUUUUUUGUAGAGAAUCUCUUUCUAAUUUGAAAGUCCAUCUUUUAUGAAGAAAUAAGGCAAUGAAUAAAAGGGCUUUCGUUUAUUAAGAAAUAUCUCCAAUAUUUUUGUCAAAAACCAUAUAAAAGUUGUUAUCAUCAAAAUCAAUAUUAUUAACAUAUUUAUGUUAACAAAAACCUCUAACAAAAGAAGGUCUUGAUACUUCUAUCCUUGUUGUCCUAAGAGAUGGCCGAUUCAUCUCUUUUGAUGAUUCUUUACUAAGUAGUAUAGAAUCAAGUCUUUGUAAAGGUCCCAUUUCAUUUAAUUGUUAUACAAACAUAACAAUUUCCUUAAAAGACAAAAACAUUUAAAAAAGCAUGAUUUUACAAAUCAAAACUCAUAAUUAUCAUAUGAUUGAGGGAUCUGUCCCAGUAGCUUUGAUUUUUAAAAUCUCGUACAAAGCAAUGAUCUCUGCGUUUAGUACGCAACAUAAAUUCCAGUAAAAAAGAGACGAGACUCUUCUCUUACAGACUGAUCUGUCUAGAGCAAAUACUGUCAUUCCAAAACUAAUACAAUGGAAAGAUAUCAAUCUUCCAGAUGAAUGGAUUCUUGAAGGUGCCACUGCACCAGUGAUUCCGAAACAACUUGAACUACAUACAGAGUUGCAAAAUGUGACUCAGUAUUAUGAUGGAAAAGUAAAACUGUCCUUUAGGAGAUCCAUAUCUUCUAGAUACUCCGAUAAAGAUUCAUGUUCGAGCAUCCCUUCAUUAGAAAGAAAAUUCACAAAAAUCCCUUCUGUUAUAAAUCUCCCUUUUCAACAAGAAAAAAGUCAACCUAAGUUCUCUACUUCGGAUAUACCUAGUUCUUCUAUACGUUUAGUUGACUACACUACUAGUGUUCCUCACCCAAUUUACACUAGUAGUCAACAUGAGCAAAAACAGGAAGAAAAAGAACAUUCUCCUCCAACUUCUCCUACGUUUUCUGCUGUCACAGAAAAUAUAAUAAAUGUCAGAAAAAGACUUUGAACUGGAUAAAACUCUUCUUCACAAUGAUUUUUAUUCAGAUAAUAAUAAAGAAAAAAGACUUUGGUUUUUUAAACAUUUUCUAAAUCAAAGAAAAGAAAUCCAAGAGACAUAUUAUGAAUUUGUGAAUUUGCAUAAAAUUCAUAUAUUGUUUUUUGAUUGGUUUGAGAUAUAUUCUUCCAAUAACAACAUCUCUUAUCCCUUUAAAAGAGAGAAAAAUCUUAUUCUCCGAUCUGUAUAAAGUGGCUUCUCUCUUUUUCUUUUAAGAAAAUAAGCCUUAUAUAUCCUCUUUAGUGAAAACCCUAGGCUCCAAAUAAUGCCCUAAAUAAAAUUCACGUUACUUUUCAUUUAAUAGGGGACCCACCAUGUAAAAUAACAUCAGGCCCCUUACACAUAAGCUAAUUAAAUGGAGCCUCCCACUAAAUGAUAUAUUUAGGCUUUUGACCCAAAUAGCUAGUUAUCUUACUUAUUAGUCCAGUAGUGGUGCAGUCAAUUAAAUGAGCUAACCCGGGGAUCAUUUGGGAACAUACAAUAGUGGCUAUAACAAUUAGGCAUGUAAUUAAACUAGCCUAAUUAUUUAAUUCUAAAUCUACUCCACUAAAAUAUUGGAACUGACUUCCAUAAUUGUAUGCUCGAAUAAUAAUUCGUCCCAAGCCACAUUGAUUUCUUUACUGCACAAUCCUUUGUACCACAUCGUUAAUUAAAUUGAUAUCUCAACUGUCCAAUCAAUUUAAUAACAUCUUUUUCCUUGAUCCUUACUGGUUUUCUUUAAUGAUCAUUUUCAACAUACUAAAUAUGUUGACACACUCUGGCCAGAGAAUUCAAUGAUCAAGUGCCGAAAACCCAUCAAGAGAUGUGUUGUACAAAUUCUAUAUUGUUAAUCCAUAACUCUAAUACUCAUAAUUGCUCCCACCAAGAUACCGGGUAAUCUUGACCACAAGUAUGUGUCGUGCCCAUUGGUAACUCAAAUGAAAUAACAAUUACAAUCAUGAAAUCAUAAUUAACUCAAGAUUAAGAUUACAGUAAAAUCAAUGCCUAUGAGAUUUAAUAAGUCUGACAGUUAUUACAAAGUUAAUUAAAUCUCAUAUGUGAUCCUGUUCAAUGUAGUCGUACUACAUCAAUAAAUUCAUACAUGAUUAAGACAAAUCAUUCAAUGAAUUUAUUACAGUCUAUACUUAAAUAAAGUACCCAACUUUAUUUAUCAACUGCGAACUAAAUUUAUUUAAUCAUAAGAUAACUUGUAUUUAUGUCUUCUGUGAAUCCACAUGGUGAUCACAUAAAUACAUAUAAUAUGAUUAAAUGGACUUUAAUACAAAUAUUAAUACAAUUAAGAUAUUUGAAUAAAAUACCUCAUUUAUUUUAUUAAUCAGAAAAAUUAUUUAUUACAAUUAAAUAAACACAUAUACUUUUAAAGAGCAUAUUUUCCCAACAACAACAUCAUAGUUUAUUCAUGCAGCCUGUGUCUUCAGGUAAUGGCUCUUUUCCUCUGUUUCAUGCUCAAGCCACUUCACAUUUGCACCGUAGUCUCCACUACUGUCUUCGACAAUGCAUGAACAGAUUCUAGUUAGUAUUUGCAUGACAGAAAAUCAAGGUGAUAUAAGGUGACCUGCAAAAUUCAUUAAUUCAUGCAUACAAAAAAGGACUUGAGAAAUGAAAAUGAAAACAAAAACUCAGUUAUUUGUGAAUCAUCUGAGCUUUUGAGACAAAGAAUAAUAAACCUAUCAGAUGCCUGCAAGUUCACGUCAUUACGGACAAACAUUACUUCAAGAAUAUAUUUGCUCCCAUCCGGCAUUUAUGUGUAGUAAACUCAGAACUGAGAUUUGAAUAUUGGGGGUAGUAACCCAUUCUCAUACAUCGAAAAUUUAAAUUCAUAUACCCCUGCAACGUUUCUCUCAAAGUCAGCCUCAACUUGAAACCGAAGAGCAACCUCCUUUUCUGACUUUUCUUUGGCCCGCUUUAAUCUAGCCAUUUUUGCUGGGAAAAAAAAAAAAAAACAAAAACAGAAGUAAGCAUCAAGGACUCGAAUGACAAGCGGUGCCAUCAUUAUAGCACUCAACCCAAGUAGGUGAUUCAGCAGUGCCUGCGAUUGUGCUUACAAAUCUCUCAAUGGAACCAAGCUUCAAAGAAAGGCUAUGAGUAUAAUCAGCCAUACAUACCACAAGAAACAGUUAUAUCUCUUUCUCUCUUUGAUUUUUUGAGGUCAGGUCAAGACCGAGAGACUCAGUCUCACCUCUUACAACGGGAUUAGUUGGAAUAAGUAUCGGAAACCCUUUCCAACCUCCUCUAAGGCAGGUUUACUCAAUAUCUCAUCUCACAGGAAGGCGGGGUCUCCAUUGGAAAAGAAAGAUCUGUAUUUCUCCUUAAGAGAAGGAAAAUUGAUAGUAGACAGAUCUUAAGAGGCAAACAAACGAACUAACAAUGAGUGUAAUAUUCAUCACAAAACCCUACAGCCAUUAUCAUUUUGUACAAAGCAACUGACAAACAUGAUUUUCAGCAACAGCAAGUCUGUUAAGUACAAUAAUAGUAUCAAAAAUAACAAUUAAGAUGAAAAAGAAGUACAGACAUCUUACAUUUUUGAAAAAGGAUGAUAAAAUAGAAAACAAGAAGAGAGGCUUGCUGUUUCUGGCAGUAUUGACAAUUUGCUGAGCUUCUUGUUCUGUAGCUAGCAACAGUUGAAUUCCAUUCUGUACCCUGCUGGCUUCCAUACUUUAUAUAAUUUCUGAUGCUGCUCCACUGAAUUAUAAAAAUAUGAUUGAUGCAAAGAAAUGAGAAACAAAGAAUAGAUAUAAGCACAAUUAAGGACAUUCCCAUGGAAACUACUUUUAAAUGGUUAUAAGAAAACUGCAUAAAUCGAAAAUAAUGAAAACAAAUUUUGAAACUUCCUUGCAACAGUGAAGAGUUACUUGAAAUCAGCUAGAACAGUAAAUGUCGUGAUAAAAUUUUCUCAUACAAAGAAUCUACAACUAAACAAGGAAUUGCUUGUAUAUUUAGAACUAGAUAGACCUCAGCAACACAGCUUCCUAUAGCCACAUAUUUAUGCGCUUGACUGGGAAUACUAUAUUUUUAUUUACCACUAAUGGGAUUGGGAAUUUCAUUGGCAAAAUGGAGGAGAUUCAGAGCUUGUUAUUUAGUCUGAAUUGGCACACGAACGGCGAAAUAGAGCCAAUCAACACUAUAAACAAAGCAGUUUUGCCAUAGAGAAAGCCAAAAUAAUUCAUUAACAGACUUACAGUUUCGUUCACACAUAUGCAAGGAUCUUUAAAAACUAAAAGCAGCAAGGUCAGUUGCAAGUUUUUCACCUACAAUAUUUUCUAAGCCAAUAAGAACAGAUCGAAUGUUUAUUUUGGAACCAAGUUAGACAGUGAGCAUCAGAAUCAAAUGAUAUUUCCAAUACAAAUUACAUCUAUUUAAACAAUGCACCAUCUACUGUUCCUCACAUUGCCACAAAAUUAGCCACAGCUUCUCAACUCAGAUCACUACACGUCCAAAUUUAUUGAUAACUACACAUGUGAACGUAACUAAACAAACCCAAUCCUAAAAAAUUUACAGCUUAGAGUUUGAACGAAAAUACCCAAAUCCAUUUAGAAUGUUAAAUCAAGAAUUGCUGACUUAAAAAAAAAAGGGUUAUUGGCAUAAAUGAAGAAGCAAAAGCAAGAAAUUUAGUUAUCUGUGGUUGCAGAUACAGAGAUACCGUGAUCACAAGCAAAGAAAAUAAAUGCAAUACUAGUGUACGGAAUCAAGAGAAGCAGAGAGACAGAGAGACUUGCCUAUGGAACCGGUCUUCGUGUUUGGUCGAGAUUUCACGACAAAUGAUAUGUGUACGUGGGACUUCACUUCACUACCUGUGUUGAAUCUGAAGUGAAACUAAACAAUCUGAAACAGCAAACACGAUGUUUCUCAGUUGUCCAACUGCUAAAAUUAUUUUAUGACUCAUUUACCCCUUGUAAUUUUAUCAAAUAACUCACUGAUGGUCUAACCCCUAUAAUUAAUUUAAAACUUAUGAACUCCAAGGUUACCAUUUGCCAAAAGUUCUUGUUUGUCCUGGUUGAGCUUCUAUUUAUAGACGAGUUUCUGGUAACAACCGGUUAAAAUAUCCAUCCGUAGUUAAUUUAAUUUUAUUUCGUGUCACGGUAUGAAUGGUGUAAUUUUAUGCCAGUUGCAAUUGAAGUAAAGGGGAAAUUCAAUUUUAGGAGUUUAAGCAUAAUUUUGUUAGACCAUUUUGAUUUUUUUUUUCUUUUAAAAGUACGUAACAAUUUACCGAGAUUUGAACUACGUCAAUAUUUGAGUCCAGAAUGAACUAUACUUGGCUUCUGAAUGUUUAGAAGAAUACUAGUAACAUAAAAUUUAUAUUCUAUGUAAUUGAAUAAAAGAAAAAAAAGUUUAUUGGUUGAGUAAUUUUCUAACAAUUCAACUUUGAACAAAAAAUAAACCAAAUGGAAUUCAUGAAAGGCCCCUAGCAUGCACUUGAAAAUUUUCGCUGGCACCCAAGACUCUGCUUAUAGCAUUGCACUUCCAGUCCUGGUGGCACGUCCAAGCCGCUCUCUUCUGUCAUUACUUCGACGUUUCUUGUACAUCAUCCCGCAACAUCCAAUCACUGAUACCCCCGCCAACACUCCGAUCACCGUUCCCGCCUUCUGCCCACCACUCAUUCCGCCCCCUUUCUUUGUUGAAGGAGGAGCAUUGUCUGCUGGAGGUGGAGCUGGUGUUGUGGGUGCUGGUGGUGCGGCUGGCGCUGCAGGAGCAGGUGGCGUUGGCGUUACAGGAACUGGAGGUGCUGGUGUUGCAGGACCAGGCGGCGUUGGAGUUGCCGGAGCAGGUGGCGUUGGUGUUGCUGGAGCUGGUGGCGUUGGUGUUGCAGGACCAGGCGGCGUUGGAGUUGCCGGAGCAGGAGGUGUUGGCGUUCCUGGUGCAGGUGGCGUUGGUGUUGCAGGAGCAGGAGGUGUUGGUAUUCCUGGUGAAGGUGGCGUUGGCGUAGCAGGAGCUGGUGGCGUUGGUGUUGCGGGAGCUGGUGGCGUCGGCGUUUCCGGAGCCGGAGGUGUUGGCGUUGCUGGAGCAGGUGGCGUUGGUGUUGCGGGAGCUGGUGGCGUUGGCGUUUCGGGAGCCGGAGGUGUUGGCGUUGCUGGAGCAGGUGGCGUUGGUGUUGCGGGAGCGGGAGGUGUCGGUGUUACUGGAACAGGUGGGGUCGGAGCUGCAGGAGCUGGAGGUGUUGGUGCUGCAGGAGCAGGUGGCGUUGGCGUGGCAGGAGCGGGAGGUGUGGGUGUUGCAGGAGCUGGUGGCGUUGGGGUUGCGGGAGCUGGUGGUGCUGGCGUUGCUGGAGCUGCAGGUGGCGUUGGUGGUGCUGGAGUUGCAGGAGCUGGAGGUGCUGGUGCUGCAGGAGCGGGUGGUUGUGUGGAGCCUAAGGAAACCAGAAGAGAUAGGAAAAGAAUAAAGCAAAUUCUGGAGUGUCUUGCCAUGAUUGCUGAACUCAGAAAUGUCAAGUCCGGAUCCUGUUCAAUACUGGAGAAGGGUUGAUUGUGAUUGAGGCUACCGAGAAAAAACAAGACACAUUGAUAAGCUUUAUAGUGAAAGCUGUGAACGAAACCAGGAGAAUACUGCAAGAAAGUUGACUCGAAAAUUAGAAUUAUAAACCAUCAAGCAAAGAGCAAAGAAAUAGUUUUGAGGUUCAUUGCGUUAACUUUGAGGGAGCUGAGUUUGGCUUCUAGUUCUUGGAUAUUGUCACAAACAUAGUAGAAGUCGCCUGCCUAUUUUGCAAUGUGAAUUUGUAAAACUUUGACGUUGUCUUUCGGAAGCUAUUCCAAGGCUGCCGCUUCAUUCUCAUACUUUUGUGCUGUCAUGAGAUGAUCCAUCACCAGCUAAUGCUAUCCUUCGUAUUAGACAUGUAUAGUUUUAUUGAAAAAGAUAAAAAUCCAAUGUGCCAAACAUAUACUAGGACUGUGAGAGUAAUUGAUAAAAAGUUUCAUGGUUUAAUAGCCAACUUUUUUUUCAUCACUGUUUCAGCUGAUUCACAUUCAGAGAGGAAGUUAUAAUGGAGGAAUAAGAAUGUGAUGGAAGACUGAGAACUGUAUCUGAAGUUGAAUUAGACUUCCUCGAAAGCUUGUCUUCCAGGAAAUCCUCUGCAAAUGACUAGAGAACAAUAGAGAAAAUCGCAACAUUAUACAACCUGUACAAGUACAUGUAAGUCGUAUCUUCUAGUUCUAGGCUUAUUGAUAAAAUGAAGUAAAAUUAGUGAAUGAUGCUUCUUACAAUCAAUUCUGCAUCCAGAAAGUACUUAGCACCUUUAUUAUUCACAAAAGCCGUGACCUGCAUCUUAACAAUUAUCAUCAUGAGACCCAUGCUUAUACUUCACCACAAGCAAUCUUUAAAUCGAAAGGAUUCUUCACUUGUGGCUGUAGGGAUGAAGAAGAAGCAACUCACUCUUGGAGAAUUUCCCGUAACGCCAAAUUUUGAAGAAAGAAGUCUUCUAAAACAAGGCUCCAAGGGACCAGAAUCAGCACUAAAUUUGUUUAGUUUUUGACACAAAAGGCAUAAACAGUCGAUAAGCAAAUAUGUUGCCGUGAAGGAACAAGGCAUCUUCCGAAAGACCUUAAUCUGCAGAUCACUUUUCUGUAAGAUCAUAACCAUAUGCCUUGAUUCCCAUUUCUAAUAUAAUUUUAAGCGAAAAUAUAUCUACAUGACAUUCACCAAAAAGAGGAUUAAGCUGAACUUCUUAAGGCAAUACUGCAACUAGUUUUUCGGCAAGCCGAGGAUUAGACUCAGUAGUUAUACUGAAUUGUAAACAAGAACUAAUGUAGCACUGGGACUAGGCGUCCAAAAUGCAAUACUGCAACUAAUAAUUUUUUGAAUUUACCCUCUGUCGCGGAGUUCUUGCUGGCACUUCGAAUUUGAAUAGAACUUUCUCUGUAUCAUUAACUACACUUGCAAAAAGCCAAACUGCACAAAAAGGAAUUUUUAUGCAUGUUUAAAUCAAAACAAAGUAUAUUAGAUCUCAUGUUGUUAUAAGGACAAAGAUAUUCAAAAUAGGGUUUGCCUGUUUCAUUCGACUGAGAAAAAAUCACAUGAGCAUUAUCUCUAGUGAAAGUUGUUACAAUCCGAGGCUUGUUCUUAAGUACGAAGUCUGCAAUUGGAGUCCUGAUGAAUUGACCACCUGCAUGCAGAGUACUUAAAUAAAUGUUCCAGUUAAUUAAAUCUCCGAAGCCUUUAGAAAACCAUUGAGAUGUGGCAGAUACUAACCAAACUGGCUAUACUUGAACUUUUGACCUUCCCCCUUUGGCCCUUUCCAUCAAAUCCAAGGGCGUCUAAUUGGGGGAUCAAUGUUGAAAAUCUUCACUGUAAGAGAGAUUGUUACAUUUUUCUUAAUCUUUGGUUUGAUAUUAUGGACGAAAACGGUUUGCCGUUUCUUAAGAAAACGGCUAACCGUUUAAGUCCAGAGAGCAUGUUUUUGUUCUGGGAUAAAACGGCUCACCGUUAUUGGGAAAACGGCUAACCGUUUAACUCCAGAGAGAAUGUUUUAUGUUCUAGAGAAAAAUGGCUCACCGUUAUUGAGAAAACGGCUAACCGUUAUUGAGAAAACGGAUUUACAGAGAGCAACGUAUUUGACAUACAAGAAUAAAACGGCUCACCGUUUAUUGAGAAAACGGCUAACCGUUUAUUUCCAGAAAGGCGUCAACUGGAAAACGGUUAAGCAAGUUUGAAAUUUAAUUGUCAAUCAAUGCAAAUUCAAACCAAAAGAGUGUCUUUGAAGAAGUACCAUUUCGAAUGGUUGUAUUCUUUUAAAUAAACAUCUUCUUCAUUAAAAGAAAGAUAUACAAUUAGAUUUAUAAUUAGUUUUUACAGAUUUCAUAUAAGUUCUGGAAAUACAAUCUUAUUUGCUAAAAAUUGUAAUCAGGAUUUGAUAUAUCUUGGGGGUAAUUUGCAAUUAAAACUCUAUAGCAAAUCAAGAUUGGUGAGGGCAAAUAAAACCUUAAAGGAAAGUGUACAAACACGUCUCAAAUCCUAAGAAAUUGUCUCUAUUCUUUGCCUCCAUAUUAUUAAAUUCACCAACAAUCUUUAAGGUUUUAUUUAAAUGGAGGCUGAGAAGAGUUUGACAUCUUUUCUGAAUCCUAGUGUUCAUCUCGAUCGUUUUGAUGGAACUAAUUUCACUCGUUGGAAGGGAAAAUUGUUCUUUCUCUUUACUGUUCUUAAAGUGGCAUAUGUUCUUGAUCCGAAAUUGGAACCAUUUCCAGAACCAAGAGAAGAUGAUACCGAAGUUGUUAAGGCUGCAAGGAAACGUCGUGAAGAUGAUGAAUUGAUGUGCCGGGGUCACAUACUCAAUACGCUUUCUAACAGGUUAUACGAUCUCUACAAUUCUAUGACUUCUCCGGUGGAAAUUUGGAAUGCUCUUGAGUACAAAUACAAAACAGAGAAAGAAGGUACUGACAAAUUCCUUGUAUCUAAAUAUUUUGAAUUUAUUAUGGUAGACACAAAAUCUAUUCUUGAUCAAAUACAUGAGUUACAAAUUAUUGUUGCUAAGCUUCGAGAGUUAAAAGUUGAAAUUUCUGAAUCAUUUCAAGUUGGGGCUAUUAUUGCUAAAUUGCCUCAAAGUUGGGAUGAUUAUAAAAAGAAACUCCUUCAUAGUAAAGAGAACAUAACUUUAGAAGAAUUGCAAAAACACUUGGUAAUUGAAGAAGAGACUAGGUCUCGCGAAUCCAAGGAUAAGCAUGAUUCUACUAAAGUUAAUGUUGUUGAAGCUAGUAAAUUCUCAAAGAAUUUUAAAGUCAAGAAUGACAAGAAAUUCAAGAAGUCCAGCACACAAAAGUUUUCUGGAAAUUGUUUCUUUUGUGGUAAGAAAGGCCAUCGCCAAAGUGAUUGCAGAUUCAAGAAGAAAAAGGAAGAAGUGAAUUCCCAUAAAGCUAAUGUUAUUGAAAACAAAUCUGAAGAGAUUUGUGCUAUGGUUUCUGAAAUGCAAAUUGGCAUGACUACCGAAACCAAUAUGGCUGAAACUAAGUCCUAUGAUUGGUGGCUCGAUUCGGGUGCAACAAUUCAUGUUUGUAAUGAUAAGAAAUUUUUCUUAUCAUACAAAGAAGAAACGGAAGGACAAAUGGUUCUCAUGGGGAACAAUAAUGCAGCCAUAGUAGCAGGGAAAGGAGUAGUUGAGAUCAACUUCACUUCUGGAAAGAAAGUCACAUUGUAUAAUGUCUUUCAUGUACCUUCUGUUAGAAAGAAUCUUAUUUCUGCUAGUUGUAUGUGUAAGCAUGGGCUUAAGAUUGUGCUUGAGGGUAAUACUUGUAUUGUCUCAAAGAAUGGAUUAUUUGUUGGGAAAUGGUAUUCUUGUGAUGGAAUGUACAAACUCAACAUUAAUAAUAAUAAUAUCAACUUAGCUUAUAUUGUUGAGUCUUGUGAUAUUUGGCAUGGUAGAUUAGCACAUUUGAACUUUAGAUCUUUGAAAUACAUGUCUAAGCAUGGUUUGAUUAAUUGCAAUGAUGUUAAAGGUCAUAAGUGUGAAAUCUGCAUCCAAGCUAAAUUAACUAAGAAACCUUUUCCUAAAGCUGAACGAAAUACUCAAAUAUUGGAUUUAAUACAUACCGAUAUUUGUGAGUAUAAUGGCAUGUUAACAAGAGGAGGUAAGAGGUACUUUAUCACUUUUAUUGAUGAUUGUUCUAGAUACACUUAUGUGUAUUUACUUAGAACAAAAAAUGAAGCUUUUGAUAAAUUUAAAAUUUUCAAAGCUGAAGUUGAGAACCAAAAAGAUAAGAAAAUCAAAAUGGUUCGUAGUGAUAGAGGUGGUGAAUAUUUCUCAAUUGAAUUUAAUAAUUAUUGUGAAGAAUUUGGAAUUAUUCACCAAAGAUCAGCUCCAUUUACUCCUCAACAAAAUGGUUUGGCUGAAAGGAAGAAUAUGAUUUUCACGGAUAUGAUAAAUUCCAUGAUCCUUAAUGCAAAACUACCAAAUAAUUUGUGGGGGGAAGCAUUACUCACUGCAUGUCAUAUUCAUAACAGAAUUACAUCUUUGAAAACACAUAUAUCUCCUUAUGAAAUUUGGAAAGGAAGAAAACCAAACUUGAUGUAUUUAAGAGUCUGGGGUUGUUUAGCUUUUUAUAAAAUACAUGAUCCUAAGUCAUCAAAGUUGAGUGCUAGAGGUAUAAAAAGUGUUUUUGUAGGAUAUGCUGAAAAUUCCAAGGCUUAUAGGUUGUUAGAUUUAGAUUCUAAUGUGAUUGUGGAAUCUAGAGAUGUUGAGUUUAUUGAGAAUACAUUUCAACUUGAUUCUAAUAUUGAAUUAGAAUCAAUUAUUGAUCAACCAUGUGUUAAUACUCCUGUUACCUCCACUAACAAUAAUAAAAGGAAAGAGUCUAUGACAUCUUUCGAACCAAGGAGGAGUCAACGUGAAAAGAAAGAAAAGAGUUUAGCUCCAGAUUUUAUUUCAUCACAAGCACUACUCUUUUUGGUUGAAGGGGAUAGAAAGAAUGUACUUAACAAAGUACCAUUGUUGUUAAAUAUUGAAAAAGAUCCAAAGACAUUUAGCGAAGCUAUGUCUUCAAGAGACGCUUCCUUUUGGAGAGAGGCGGUAAAUGAUGAAAUGGAUUCGAUUAUGUCGAAUCAAACAUGGGUCUUGGUUGAUCUUCCUCCAGGAUCUAAACCAAUUAGCAGCAAAUGGGUAUUUAGAAUAAAGUACAAUAGUGAUGGUUCUUUGCAAACUUUUAAGGCUAGAUUAGUAGCCAAAGGGUUUAAGCAAAGAAAUGGGAUUGAUUAUUUCGAUACAUAUGCUCCGGUAGCAAGGUUAGCUUCUAUAAGAGUGCUAUUUGCAAUUGCUUCAUUGAACAAUUUGUAUGUGCAUCAAAUGGAUGUUAAAACAACUUUUCUUAAUGGUGAUCUUGAUGAAGAAAUCUAUAUGGAACAACCUGAGGGAUUUCUUUUGCCAGGAAAUGAGAAAAAGGUAUGCAAGUUAGUCAAAUCUCUUUAUGGUUUAAAGCAAGUACCAAAACAAUGGCAUGAGAAGUUUGAUUCGGUAAUUUUAUCUCAUGGUUUUAAGUAUAAUAAUGCUGAUAAAUGUAUAUAUUUUAAAUUUACGAAUGAUUUUGGUGUGAUUAUAUGCUUGUAUGUUGAUGACUUGCUUAUCUUUGGAACAAAUAUGCAAGGAGUAGAUGAUACAAAGAAGUAUUUAACUUCACAGUUUAAGAUGAAAGAUCUUGGUGAAGUAGAUACUAUCUUAGGUGUCAAAGUGAAUAAACAUAGUGGGGGUUACUCGUUGUGUCAAUCUCAUUAUAUAGAGAAAGUGCUUCUUAAAUUCAAUUAUUUGAAAUUUAAAGAAGCUAAUACCCCAUAUGAUUCUAGUAUUAAAUUACUAGAGAAUUCAGGCCGAGUAGUAGCACAACUAGAAUAUGCUAGUGCUAUUGGUAGCUUGAUGUAUGUUAUGCAUUGUACGAGGCCUGAUAUAGCAUUUGCAGUUUGCAAAAUGUCAAGAUUCACGAGUAACCCUAGUGUUGAACACUGGAAAGCAAUUGGUAGGAUACUUGGUUAUCUUAAAAGGACCAUUAAUUUGGGUUUGUUUUAUAAUGAUUAUCCUGAAGUACUGGAAGGAUAUUCAGAUGCUAGUUGGGUAACCAAUACAAGAGAUAAUAAAUUCACUUCUGGUUGGAUUUUUACAAUUGCUGGAGGAGCGGUUUCUUGGGCUUCAAAGAAACAAACGUGCAUAACUCAUUCAACAAUGGAAAGUGAGUUUAUAGCACUUGCAGCUGCAGGCAAAGAAGCAGAAUGGCUGAGAAAUUUGUUGUUUGAUAUAAUGUUGUGGCCACAACCGAUGCCAUCUAUUUCUUUGCACUGCGACAGUGAAGCUACAUUGUCUAGAGCUUAUAAUAAAGUGUAUAAUGGAAAGUCAAGACAUAUUAGCUUGAGACAUGAAUAUGUGAAACAAUUAAUAACAGAUGGUGUUAUUAAUAUUGUUUAUGUUAGGACUAAUAAGAACCUAGCAGAUCCUUUAACAAAAGGUCUUUUAAGAGACUUAGUUAAGGAUACAUCUUUUGGAAUGAGAUUGAAACCUUUGCAUAAUAAAGUCACCAACGAUGGUAACCCAACUAUGUAGUAGUUGUACCGUUACUCCAUAGUUAAAUGGGUAAUAACAAGUUGUUGUUAUGUGACUGGUUUGGUACCGAGUAAUAAAUAAUCCCAUUCGAGAGUUUCGGUGUAAAUAGCUACGAGGUUGAGGUUGAGUAUUUACUCUUAAAUGAAGUUCAAGUCUUAUAGUAGCUAAAGACAUGAUUUGAAACUUCACCUAAGUGAACAUAAGAAAUGGUGUCGUUUCUAACAAGAUCAUGGUUUAAUCUUGUAAAUGUUCAUGAAUCCAAGAUAGAGCACAAGGCCGGAAUAGUGCUAACUAUUGGAACACAAUUUUGAAAUCUGGGAUAGCUUAUAUGUGAUGUAUCUCCGGUAUUUACUUAAGAGACAAAGUUUAAUGCUUAGCACACUAUUGUCUUGUAAAUACUUUGAAAUACACUCACUAAUUAAAGGUUAAAAUCGAAAGAUACAUUUUUGUAUGUAUAAGUUUAUCAUUAAUAAAUCUGAAAAAAUAUUACAAUCUAGUGGGGAUUGUAAGAGAGAUUGUUAUAUUUUUCUUAAUCUUUGGUUUGAUAUUCUGGACGAAAACGGUUUGCCGUUUCUUGAGAAAACGGCUAACCGUUUAAGUCCAGAGAGCAUGUUUUUGUUCUGGGAUAAAACGGCUCACCGCUAUUGAGAAAACGGCUAACCGUUUAUUUAUAGAGAGCAACAUAUUUGACAUACUGGAAUAAAACAGCUCACCGUUUAUUGAGAAAACGGCUAACCGUUUAUUUCCAGAAAGGUGUCAACUGGAAAACGGUUAAGCAAGUUUGAAAUUUAAUUGUCAAUCAAUACAAAUUCAAACCAAAAGAGUGUCUUUAAAGAAGUACCAUUUCGAAUGGUUGUAUUCUUUUAAAUAAACAUCUUCUUCAUUAAAAGAAAGAUAUACAAUUAGAUUUAUAAUUAGUUUUUACAGAUUUCAUAUAAGUUCUGGAAAUACAAUCUUAUUUGCUAAAGAUUGUAUUCAUGAUUUGAUAUAUCUUGGGGGUAAUUUGCCAUUAAAACUCUAUAGCAAAUCAAGAUUGGUGAGGGCAAAUAAAACAAAGGAAAGUGUGCAAACACGUCUCAAAUCCUAAGAAAUUGUCUCUAUUCUUUGCCUCCAUAUUAUUAAAUUCACCAACAUUCACAACAUCAACAUUUGAUGUUUGAUAAAAGUUUAUCUCAAUGUGCAGUUUUGAGCAGCAGCGACCUUCUCACUAUCAGAACCCUUUAAAAUUAAAAAAUAAAAUCAAAUUGGAGCAUUACUUUUAUUAGUAAGAACAAAUAUACCUUCUAUUAUCACUUUAAAACCGGCCAAAUAAUCCACUCAGUGACAGUGAAAUGAUUGAUGUAUAUAUCAGUAUUUGGACUCAAAUACUAAGCGCCUCUGUACUGUCAAGGAUUCGAAGAAACAAUGUAUAUUCAGUACUCAAAACAUCAUACGCUUUGUCUUCUAUUGUUAGAGUUGGAACAUAGACUCCCAGUUUCAUCCUCAUCCAAGUCGAAAUAAAAUCCCUACAGGGUUAAUCAGUGAUAGAUGAUUACAAAGUAGAAAUAUCGCAGCCAUCUUGAUUCACAAGUAGCAUUUAACUUCGGUAACGGAGCAUCAUGUGAAAUGGUGCAGGAAAGUAGCAGCUACCUAUCAUCAUAAAUAUGAAUGAUUGCUACUGCAGAACUCGGUUGGUUCAUGAAUAUGGAAAAAUCUGUGUUCAGAUGCUACCUUGACGAUAUUUACUGAAAAUGAUGGAUGUGUUACCUAGGUUUUACCUUAUGAACACAGCAAUAAAAAUUGUAUCUAUAAAUAAAUUCAUUCGCUUGUAGUAUCCAAUAUAUAGCCAUAAUGAGGUUACCACAUCUAUCUGCUUCUUUUUAAUAGAUGCACUUGAAAUUAGAGGAGCAAAAACCAGAAAAAUCUGGCUAAACGUUUCACAUUUUGACUUCAAAUUCUCUUCGAAUAAUCGGUAUAUUGUCAAAGUGCUUGAUUAUAUAAAUCAACUCUAUCACGUAUAAAUAAGUUUCUCUAUGGAUUUAAGAGCAUUGAAUCUACGUUGAACACUUCAACUGCCACACCUUUAAAGCACCCGAUUCAUUGUCAACUUUCUUCUCAGCUAUCAAACAGAAGUGAAAGCAGAAACUCACCGGGUUGGUGCAAGAUUUUCCAUACCAAAUAAUCCAUCAACAAAUAGAUAAAAUGUAGGAUACCCUGGAACUUUAUACUUUUCCGGCAACUCUUUCUCCUUAUCAGCAUCAAAAUUUGCAAGCGCCACCAAACCUUCAGUUGUUUUGCAGCUGCAGCGGACUCGGGGGCUACUUUUUGGCACCAGGUGUACCAUUGCCCGUAGAACAUCACUAUCACAUGCUGAUUCUUGACAAUGAAGUCACUGAAGUUAUUUGCAUUAAGUACUUCAACAUUUCUCUCAUCGAUCUUCGGCUAUGGAUUCUUCCUGUAAGCUUUGGUGAUAUCAACGCAUACAAAUUCUUCUUCUUCAUUGAGUUGAUGACGAGAUGAUAAAUGGUAGAAGAUAAUGGUGAGAAAGAGUACCGAAAGGAUGAGAAGGAUUUUUGGCGUUGACAUUUAUGUUCAUUUGUUUGGUUUCAGUUGACCAUUUUCAGACAGGAAGUGGUGAACUAAAAUGAAACAGAACAGCAUAUGAAAGAGAUAGAAGUUGAAGUUUGGCUUCAUGGAACUUUCAUUUCGCACAGCUCCUAGUGAGAAAAGUAAAAAAGAACUCAUCUUCUUUCUUUUUUUAUUACCUUUCUCGGAUAUUAAUAAGAUCGAAUCCAACUCGAUUUCUAAAUAGGAUUCCUAAUCCUUAACUUGUCGAGGAAUCCUUCAUUAGUGGUUGUGAAAGGCUGAUUUUUCUCAAUCUUUCCAACCUUGGUUUCAUAAGAGCAAGUCAGAAAGAUUGAAAAACGGAACCGUCUGAUUCGAUUCGUUCUCAAUAGCCACGAGACGAUCAUCUUAGAGUGAUUUUGUUCAUUUGUUUGGUUUCAACUUUCAAUUGACCAUUUUCAGACAGGAAGUGGAGAACUAAAAUGAAACAUAACAGCAUAGGAAAGAGACAGAAGUUGAAGUUUGACUUUCUAUUGUGGAGAGAAAUAUUGCGCGAUGCAAUUCAAAUCUUUGAUUGCUAAACGGAUGACUGAUUAAGUUAAUUCUUUUCCUAGGAUUCACAUGGAUAUGGGUUCCAAUCAAGAGAUUUUUUAACAUUAUAUCAAAGGAAUCUUAAGUCCUUAAGGAUGAAUCAUCUUAAAUCUGGCAUUCAUAAUUAGGCAAUAGGAAUAUACCACUCAAAUACAAUUUUCAUACAAACGUAUUGUCGGGUAUACAAAAGGGACUGAGGAUACAGAUGGAGCAAUCAAGCUUCUUACAAGUUCCACCAGUUGAGAUAUAAACCACUGAUAUAUUGAUGUGCAAUAUGUUUAUUCACCGAGUAAGAUAUCUACAAAAGGAACAUCCGAUGGCCAACAACUCCGGAUGGCACAUUUAAAGUCCGGUCAUUUUGGCUAAUUCACUCAUGGGUACGAAGUUGAUAGGAGGCCCGAGAUUGUGAUGGAAGUUUAAGAAUGGUCUCCGAAAUUUGAUCCGACUGGUUCAAGAGCUUGUCUUCAAGGAACUCCUCCCCAAAAGACUACAAGAUGAAAGCAAGGGCAUAUUAUCAUAUGAUUAGAGCAUUCAUCAUGGUUCUUCCACAAUUAUUGCAAAAAGAAUCAAAGCCAGAAAUUUAACCAAAAUCUGGGCAGAAUUGAUCAGUAGAAAAGUAAAUGAAACUAUUAAGAGAUAGAAGAGAUUCAAACCUUAAUACUGCUGAGCGUCAAUUCACCGUUCAAUACAUAUUUCUUUGCAUCACGUGCGCUGUAGGCUAUAACCUACAUGUGAAGGAGCAAAAUUAUACAUUUGCAUCAAUGUAACCUUAAUCCACAAAAGUUCAUAAUGAACUUACUCUUGGAGCAUUUCCGCUAACCCCAAAUUCCUGAGAAACUCGUCUCCCAACACCUUCGGAGUUCAUUUCCACAUACACAUGGAGAAGCUGAAAGAAAUUUGAAAAAUCAUAUAAAUAAUGGUUAGAUUUUUGAGAGGUAUGUAAUCUCAAAACAAGUACAUAACUAACAUGGUGAGAUGUCAACAUUAUAAGCAAAUAUUGUAGAGGAGUUGUCAGUUGCAAACAAAAUAUAGGACACAGGAAGAGAAAUACACUCCUAAUGGUAAAUCAUCAGCAUGGUUGAUAUGCUGACACAAGUUUAGUACAAAUGUCUUUAAUGCACUUUUCAGUUAUUUAGAAACAGAAUAAUUAGCAUUUUUCUGCACAUUUUAUGUGAGGUUUCAAAUAGAAGUCCGGGCUUUAAGGGCUUCAGCUCCAGGAUAGCAACAGAAAUUUCUUCCACAGAAAAGUAAGCCAGAAAUGAGAAAAGCAAGGAACAAUUUUCAGUGAGAGUAGUGAGAAACUAGUCAAAGAACAUAAUAUUGACAAACUACUGGAGGAAAAUUUAAAAAUGUUUUGGGAGCCACAACAGUAUAAUUAGUAGUAUUUACAGGCAGAGAAGGGUCAAUAAGGGAGCACAAGCUUUCAAAGAAGCUCAACUGAUGAGCUGAUACAUAUCCUGAGGUAUGGGGCUUUUUUUUUUUUUUUUUAAAACUCGAGAAGUCAGGGCACAUGAUUGACCUCUGCCAGGUUCUCCAUUUACAUAUUGAAUCUUUAUGAAACCUCUUUCGUUUUGGAAUUCUAAGGAGGCAUAUAAUAACGUAGAUCAAGAAUAAUGGAACUAACCGAAAGGUUUAGGAAGCAGAGGCAUCAAUACAUGAGAAACAAAUUAAAAAUUGUGCUAGCGGUGAAGCUUACUCAUUUGACAUGUGGUGCUCAAAUAAGUAAAGGAUAUUCUACCAUAUUCACCUUUCCUUUUAAUGCUUUUGCAACUUCUUCAAAUGUCGAAAUAACCUUAUCUGAACCAUAUGCUGGUGCAAAGAGCCAUAACUGAGAACGGAUAUAAAGACAUGUUAAAAACAAAAAUAUGAAUUUCCUAAUAUAAGAAGAAGAAGAGGCCCCUCUAUAACCUGUUUCCUUGGAUCCUGAAAAACGAAUUCAGCAUUAUGUAUGGUCAGAGUGACCACGAGUGGAUGCUUAGUGUGAGUUACAAAGUUAGCUAUUGCCAAUCUUGUGAAUUGAUGACCUGAAGAACAAGAAAAAUGUCCAAGUUAAGGUUAUUUCAUUUGUAAAUUGAAACUAUUAAAGCAUUAAGUCCUGAAAACUCACGAAACGGAGUAGCUUUUCCAGCUUCAAGAUGAAGAAAGAUCAAAGCAGGGCGUUUGCUUUUUGGAUGAAUAUGGAAAAACUCUGCAACAUCAGCGCUAGUGGUUUGAUAGAAGUUAACAUCACUAUGCAGUUUUGAAGCAGCUGCAAGUUCUUCACUUUCCAUUCCCUGUUAACCACUAGGAUGAUUCAACAUGCUUUUGAACUAGUGAAAAGAAUGAAUCGAAGUAACAAAGUAUGAUAAGUGGAUAUUAAAUUAUAUGAACAUGCAAAAUGAAUGUCUAAACUGAGUGGAAUAUAGUAACUGAGAACUAUGCUUUAUGACUACUGAGUUUCACUUACUAAAGCUCAUAUGCAUCUUGUGGUGCUCAUGCCCUUCAAAUCUUCUUAAUAUGACAAAGAUUGUAAAUGCCAUGAUAAACUAAAACUGAACACUAAAUGCACUAAAGUAAGAAAUUCAGAAUGGUAUUUGUGCCUCAGUUCGAGCAAUCGUGACUACACAGAACUCAAACAAUUGAGUUAAUGUAAUUCAGGAUAAAAGACUGCUAUAUUAGAGAGAAUGAAACAAGAAACUAGUAUCUAUUGAUCAUUAAGUACCUCUAAAUCGUGAAGGAAUCCCAAAACCAAUUUAGAUUCAACUGUCAAUAUACGCUCCGCUUCAUCCGUUGUUGUAAUGCUGUAAGUACCCAGGGUCAUCUUCUCCCUCACCCAAGCUGAUAUAACAUCCCUGCAGUUUGAAUUACCACUGUUAGCAAUGCAAUAUUGUGACAGAAAGUGCUGUCCAAUUCAGUCCUCCAUUUGAAGCAAUUAGUACCAACUAUUCAAGGAUUUAUAAGACACGGCAAUGCCAUCAACAACAAAGUCUACAAUAUCUCUGUUGCAGUACAAUCAUCCAGUGGUAUUAUGUCACGUUCAUAUUCAUUUAUCUCAACAAACCAAUUUUCCUGAAAUUUGUUUGAAAUAAAUAAAUACCUCUCAUGAAUUUAUUGAAUUUUACAGAUGACAAAUUUGGCUUCUAUAGAGGGGGAAAAAAGCACCAACCUUGUCCUUUCGCCAAAAAACUGAAAUUGCCUCACUCCAGCAACAAACAAAUACAAAGUUGGAUACGCUAGAAUAUUAUACUCCUUUGCCAAAUCUUUCUCCAAAUAAGCAUCAACCAUCACAAGCUCAGCCUCACCCUUCAGCAUUUUGGCUGCCGCCGCAAACUCAGGAGCUAGUUUCUUACUCCAGUAGCACCAGUUUGCAUAGAACAUCACCAUCACAUUCCUAUUCUUGCCCAUAAACUCACUAAAAUUCUUCCCAUUUAAAGACACAACAUCCUUUGCGUAAAGAAGCGGCCAGGUGUGGUUAUUAUUGAGAUUGGUCAGUUCAAGUUCAUCAGGCUCUGCCUUAAGAUCUUCAUGGGAUUGUGUUGGUGGGAACAAGUAGAGUUUGAAGAGGAUGAUGGAUGAAGUUAAAAGAAGGAGAAGAGUUCUUGUUUUUUCCAUUUGAUGAACCAAGAAAACUUCAGAGAGCGAGAGAGCAUUUGAGAGCUGAGACUUUUGAUUAUUUUAUAUGGCGAUGGAAAAAAGCUAGACGUUUGACUUUAAAUAUAAAAAGUCGUGGAGCAGUUGGAAGGAAGAUAAGCCUGUUAUUUUCAUAAUCCAAUUUGGGCCGGACCGGCGUUGUGAUGUUGGCCCAAUUCCGAACGUUUUGACUUUUUGAGUCCAAUGAUCUGUCGUUCUCAUUAUUCAUACAUUUCUAAAAUAAUUUUAAAUCAUAAAAUAUCAUUUCCAUGACCAAAAUUUCAAACGAGAUUACCAAAUACCAGACCAAAAUUUAAGUUAGUAGCCUUUCAAAGAAUAAAAAAUUAAAUUAGUAGGAAAGAAAGACUCAAGAGAAGAACUCCUCCAGCAUAAUGGGAAAUUUACAAAACAAGCCAAAAAAAUUAGGCAUUUUUCAACUUUAACCCCUCCAAUUUUUUUCUUUCAACAUUAGCCAAAUCACCAAAUUGUGGACGAAAUUACCCUCCUCAUUCUCACGUUUCCCUCAAGCAAAUUCCUUCCCCUCUCACCAAAAUCUCAUCACCGGAACUUCUAUAGAUUGUCGGCGGCGGCGUAGAUCGGCAGCGGAGGAAGUUGUUGGCACUUGAAAGAAGCUAAAUCACGUUGAAAAUCUUCGGAGAUCUCCAAAAUCAAAGAAAAAAUUUGAAAACCCUAGGUGAGUUGUUAUUGCCGUUUUUCUUGUUGUUGUUGUUGUUGUUGUUGUUGUUGUUGUUGUUGUUGUUGUUGUUGCUUGGGUUGUUGUUGUUGUUUGGGAUGUUGUUGUUGUUUGGGAUGUUGUUGUUGUUUGGGAUGUUGUUGUUGUUGGUGGUGUUUUAAUGGCGGUGGUGGGUGAGAUGCAUGUGGGAAAGGGAAGAGAAGAGAAAGGGCAGGGGAAGCCAACUCGCUCGCGCGAGGGCGUGGCGUCGCGCGCGCAGCGCGCAUCUCCCGUGCGACAUGCGCAUGUCGCGCGCACAUCUCGCGUGCGACAGGCGCAUGUCGCGUGCACGAGGUGCGCACGCCGCGCGCAUCUCGCGUGCGACAGGCGCAUGUCGCACGCGAGAUGCGCGCGGCGUGCGCACCUCGUGCGCGCGACAUGCGCCUGUCGCACGCGAGAUGUGCGCGCGACAUGCGCAUGUCGCACGCGAAAUGCGCGCGGCAUGCCCAUCACGCGCGCGCGAGGUGCGCACGCCGCGCGCAUCUCGCGUGCGACAGGCGCUGCGUCGCACGCGAGAUGCGCACGUUGCGCCCAUCUCGCGCGCGACGCCGCGCCCUCGCGCUAGCGAGUUGCGCGUAGGCUCGCGCGAGGGAAGCCAAGCGCGCGCGAGUUGCGUGCAGGCAAGCAGCUCGCGCGCGCACUUGCUUCUCUCGUGCGAGCCUGUCGCACCAAGAGGCAGCACCUCUUGGUGCGACAGUUGGUGCCCGUCGCACCAAGAGGCAGCACCUCUUGGUGCGACAGUUGGUGCCCGUCGCACCAAGAGGCAGCACCUCUUGGUGCGACAGUUGGUGCCCGUCGCACCAAGAGGCAGUACGCAGUGUUGCCUUAAUUUUUUUUUCUUUUGUUCAUAAUUUUUUAAUGUGUGAUACUUUUAACUUGUACCAGAUAAAUGGGCAAAUCAAAAUUAGCAUUACAUAACCCACCCGGACCGAUUAAAGAACCGGGAAUGAUGAAGAUACCUUAUGUUGAUCACUUCCCUGGGCGUAUCACAAGUAUGUGCAAAUUAGAUGUCGUUGUUAAUGCCAUCCGGGAAAAAUUAACAAGGCAACAGUUGAAGCUGUUCAAAGACGAUAUAUUUGGGCAUUUCCUACAGUGCCGGAGCUAUCCGUUCAGUGGCGUGAUUGUGCACAAUAUAUUGCUUCGGCAAGUGUCACAUGGCGAUGGAAGUGAAAAAGAUGAGUUAUGGUUUCAAGUUGGCGACCAUUUGAUACGGCUAUCGAUUGGAGAGUGGUGCCUAGUAACGGGACUUUGCUAUGGCGAAAAAGUAUUCCUGACGAAGCAUAAAACAAAUCAUAGGUUACUUAAUAAGUACUUUGGAGGCAGGAUUCGCGAUAUAAAUCUUGGCCAGUUCGAGGAAAUAUUUAUGAACUUACGCUUCAAGACUAUGAAUGACAUCGAUGCGCUAAAAAUUGCCAUGUUUUACUUUGCUGAUAGAGUGCUACACGGAAGAAAGGAUCAUUGUCAAAUCAAUUUCAAUUUACUUAAUGAGGUAGAUGACAUAAAUUAUUUUCGAAGUAUUCCGUGGGGUCGUUUGUCAUGGGAAACAAUAUAUAAAAGCAUUGAUAAUGUAUUGAACGGCAAAGCCAAAAAAUUUAAGAAGGCAAGCGCAGAAAAUCCAUUGCAUAGAAUUGAGAAAUACAACUUUUACGGCUUUACAUCGGCAGUGCAUGUGAGUGAAGAAGUUUUUUUUAUAAUUUAGUUUUGUUAUAAUAAAUAUUUAAUGACACGUUUUUUUACUUCAUAUCUUUCCUUGUUGAAGGCAUGGAUUUUUGAAGCGAUCGAAGGACUACCAUUAGAGUGGGUGGAGAAAAUUAAGAGGAAGGGUGCUCGGAUCGUGCGAUGGAAGCCCGUGGCUUCUUCAAAUAUUAACUUCGGCGAAGUGUAUUCAUACCUGAACGAGCGUCUUGUAAGUCAUUUAUAUGUAUGUCUGUAUAUAACUAUUACAUAAUAUAUGGUUAUACUAAUUGGAAAUUUGGUAAUCUUUACGACAGGAUGGCACCAUUUUCCAAACCCUGAAACCGGAUGCAAAGGAGAGAGCCACAAAUUAUUGGAAGAGUGUCGAGGAUUACGUGCCAUAUUUGCCAAGUUGGGUCCGUAAUGUGGGUAUCAUCUAUAGUAUCAUUGAAAACCGGAUGGAAAGUCAUUUAUAUGUUUGUUUUUUUGGAAUUUACUGUUUUCUGUUUUACUUGGUGCAGCACCAGCCUUCAAUCAAUGCGCCAUCCAGUACAGGGCCAAACGAGGUGGAUCCUGACCCCACGAGCCCAAUAGGACUGGAGCAGAGUCCUGUUGAGGAUGCUGGUGCUGCCGACGAACAUUAUGAAUCCGCACAUGAUUCAGAUGACAGAAAUGAGCCAGAGGUAACUUCUGUCGUCCUGAAUAUUUACAAUGCACAUAUACCUAUCCGGCAUUUUGUCAUUACUUUCUUAUUUGCGUAAAUUGUAGGCAAGGACUAAGUUCCGCAAUGAUUAUUUCGUUGGACGACUGGAAAAAAUAGAGUCUUCCAUUCACGAGUUGAGGUCGGAACUUCAGACUGGACACAGUUCCAUUAACGAACUGAGGUCAGAACUUAUGGCGGAACGCAGAGAAGCACAACAAUAUAGAGCAGCGGUCAUGGGGUUUAUGGCUUCGUUUGGCGCGGGUGCUUCAAAUGGCCCGUACGGUGAUUCUCCGUUUGGCCCUGCGCCCUCGGUGAGCAAGUUUCAUAUGUUUUCGUUAUGUUAUUAUGAUUUCAAACCUGAACUUAUGUUAAUAUGUUCAUCUCCUCGAAACAACAGGCUCCAGAUCGAGGUGGUCCGAACGUUGAUGCUGGCUAUGGUACGCAUACUGAUGCUGGUAAUGACGACGAGCACACCCAUAUGUCAUUGUACAGUCUACAUGGGGACAUAUGUGAUGACAGUGUACAGAUAUUCACGGAGGCACCUCCCGGCGUUAGUAAGUUUGGCCGUCCGUAUCGACCGUCGUAUAUAUUUGGCAGUCCUUACUUCAUUCCUCCUUUCAAGAGAGUUAGGAAUGUCAGGCCUCUACCCGCACUCAACAUUACGGACUAUGGAAUUGAUGAAAGAUCGAGUGUGGAUAUGAAUCCGCUUAGAGGACUAGAAGACUCAAGCCUAUGUGAGUCGUUUGAUCAGUGGUUUGCCGGCAACAUUUCCGUGGAUCGGCCCGUCCAACAGUCUCGAAAUUUCUUUGAAAUACUCAUGGGCAAUGCUUCGAUGGGGUGGCUUGGUGACGAGGUAAGUGUGUUUAAUGGUCAGUACAUUACAAUACACAAUAAUAUUUCUGCUGGCAUGGAUAUUGAUAUAAAUUUACUUGGUAUAAUCCCUUCACAGCAUAUUCACACGUAUUACCGCUUGAUCAGCGAGAAGCAACAGCGGUUUCCAAAUGCACUACCACAGCGCGUCACGCAUACAGAUACAUACUUUUGGGCAUGUUUUAAAAUCCAUAAUCAUUAAUUAUAAUUUCGAUGUUUUAAAUAUCUCGUAAUGUUAUUAAUUUUCUACUCAUCGUGUAAUAGGUGUUCCUAAAGCAAUUAUGGAACAAUGGUAGUUGUGAUGUCAAUUCAUUACAAUAUGGCAACAACUUGAGCAGCUAUAUGGAUGGGCGGGAAGAUCUCAUGUCCAAACCGUUUACGGAUGUCGAUAUGGUAAGAAUUGUCACUCAAUCUUAUGGUAAUUGUGUAUAAAAUAUACUAAUUAACCUAUUUAUUUAUGUAGAUAUUCAUCCCUGUGAAUUUGGGCGGCGAUCAUUGGGUACUAGCUCGAGCGGACCUUCGCGCGAGGAGGAUGCGGAUUUACGACUCGUUGGUUACCUUUCGCGAGGACAAAACAUAUUUGCGUAAAUUCAAACCUCUUCAGGUCGUCUUCCCUCAAUGGCUUCAAGAUGUUGGAUUCUACAACAUUCGAUCUGAGCUGCAGAGUGCCGACCCUUGGAAAGUAAGAAUCGUUAAGGAUGUGCCCCAACAAUCACCUGGAAGUGGUGAUUGCGGUGUAUUUAUGUUGAUGUUUACAAUGUAUUUGAUGUUCGGGCUAAAACUUGAUUUUGAUAGUAGCCACGGGCAUUACUUCAGGAAGAAAAUUGCUGUAGAUAUAUUUACGGGCGAUAUUGCCUUGUAAGUCGUUGUAUUGUAUUAAGACUUGAUGUAUGGAUGUAGAUUGUAUUUCUAAUAGAUAUAAACUUUUGAUAUAUUCAUAUAUUUCGCUAUAAGUAAUUAUUGAUCAACUUUAGUACUCAUUAUGCAAAUGAACAUAACAUAAUAUACCUCAUUACAUAUAAUUGUAAUAUAAAUUAUAAUAAGAGUUCAGAAUCCAUAAUUAGUUACAACGACACAAUCAGUUUGGAUUCGACACAAUGGGAUUUUUACAUCUCUUACGGUUAUGACCUGGUUGGUUGCAUCGACCACAUCUCACAGUUCUUCGGUUAACAUCCUCACCGAUAGAAGGAAUUCUUAACUCUGGACGACGACCAGGUGGUGGUGCUUCGAUCGGUGGGUUAACUCUGAUUUCCUGGAUUUCUUCUGGAAUGUCCCAAUCUGUCAUGUCCCCAAUCGGCUCUACUGGUUCUGCAUAUGCCAUGACCAAUGAAUCUUUAGAGUAAUAAUCAGAGCAAAGACUUAUGUAAUCCACACGGACGAUCAGACAAGCAGCAAUUGCAUGCGCACAAACAAGCUGAUCGAGUUGGAAUACUCUACAGGAGCAAGUUCUUUCAUGAAUGUCAACUAUCCCUUCCUUCAUACCACCACCCAAAACAUGAAAUCGAUGCUGAGACACUGGCCGAACGGUCAUUCUUUCGGCCAAAAUUCUCCUUUCGCCGACUAUCUCAUCUGCCCACGUCGUUAGACGAGUGCUCAUCGAUUCAGCGACAAUUUUCCUAUCAUAAAACCAUUGCUGUAAUGUUUUUCUAAAGUGAUCAACAAGAUGAGUAACAGGAAAUUUUCGCGGUUCCCUCAUUAGAGAAUUCACGCUUUCUGCAAUGUUGGUGGUAAGUAUGCUGUAUCUCCUACCUUCAAAUUCGGACCUUGCCCAAUUACACGUGCCCACAUUAUUCUCUAAGUAAUCAGCCGCGGCCGAGUGGAGCAUCCACAACCCUUCAAGUUGUCUUUUAAAUUCUUCGUGUCCAUAUGCCUUUGCUGCAUUAAUAAAAGCUGGCUCGAACUGAUCCCAAAUAGCUUUGGACAUCCUGAAUUUAGACUUAAUGUUGCCUUUGACAUGGUAAAAACAAACUCCAUGACCAGCAGUGUGAAAUGCUUUAAAAACGGCUCGCUUGAUGGCAGUGCAUCGAUCAGAGAUAAAUACUAACUCUGGCCUAUCGCCAAUCACUCCGUGUAACUUCGUCAUAAACCAUUCCCAAGCAUCAUUGUUUUCUGAAUCCAUGACCCCAAUAGCUAACGGAUACAGUUGAUUAUUACCAUCCAGACAUGUUGCUACAAACAUACUUCCACGAUAGAGCCCCUUCAAAUGAGUGCCAUCUACAGCGAUCACAGGCCUUAUGUACUGUGUGAAGCCCUUGAUGGAAGAUCCAAGCGCAACAAAGUAGUAUAAGAAAUUAUCAUCUCCAUCCCGCUGGAGGUGUGUCACUGUGCCAUCAUUCGCUUUGGUCAAAACGUGAGAGUAUUUGGGAAGUAAGUUGUAUGACUCUGCAGGGUUCCCUCGUACUAUUUCAAGACCGACUUCUUUAGCCCGAUAUGCUUGCUGAUAUGUUAACUGGACCCCGUAUUCUUGCUGCAUGUCUGCUCUAAUGUCAUUCGGCGUGUAUAUCCGUUUAUCCUGAAUAAAUUUAUCCGCGAUAAGAUGGCCAACAACCCGACUCCUAACUUGGCGGAGGCCACUAGGCAAAACCUCAUUAGAGCACGUAUGAACAUUGUCAACUCUUCUCACUACCCAAGGAACAUUAUGCUCAUCCGAACCUCUUGUUGCGCGAAGACGCCAAUUACAUGAUUCCGAAGAACAGUGAGCCUCAAAGCGUGUCGUUGUGGACCGUGCAAUCUUGAAAUCAAACUUUUCCCGCAAGGCCACUUUGCGCAAUUCCAGUAUUAACUCAUUCUUCUCAGCGAACAACUUUCCCACACCAAUGUCGGCAGAAUUACAGCUUCUAACUAAGUCUGGAGCAACCAAGUUUGAAGGCAAAACUGGAGCAAGACUUACCAGGGGAUCAACUGUUGUCCUCCUCCUCGAACGGGCCAUCGGAGGAAUAGGUCGAUUCUCUCUAUUGUUAACAGGAAUAUCAUACUGAUGCUCAUCCUCAUUAUUGAUAGGAAUAUCGGAAUGACCAGUGUCCCUAUCAUCAACUUCAGUAUUGGAGUUCAUGCCUUGCACAUUAUCAGCUUCUGUGUUGUUGGUGUUAUAACCAGGAUCAUCAUAACUGCGGAACUCAUUAUUUUGAAAUGGAGAGUAAUGUUGCCCUAACGAUGUCCCUAAUGGUAACACAUUAUCUUCAACAUCCGCUAUCGUAAUGCCAUUAUCAUCAAUAGUGUCAUUGUUUUCGUUGACUGGUGAGUAAUGUUGUUGGAACGACAUUUGUUGUGGUAACACCUCUUCCUCAAUAUCGGGGACAGACUCGUUUGCUCUAAACGAACUUUCACUUUCCACAAAUGGCUCAGGAUUUUCGGCCGGAACUCGAGGAUGUGUGGUGACAAAUAUAGGGAUGCAUCCAUAAUUGACCACAUCAGAGGCCAUGUGCAGCACAACAUUAACCAUUUCAUCAUUAAAUAUAUCCAUAGGUAGUGAACAUGCACGAUACAUUGUGUUACUAGAUCUCAAAGUUGUCUUCAUCGACAAACUAUAUUCAAUAGGAUUUAUCUGUAAAACUUCAUACACCCUUGCCAUAAAUUGCUCAAACGUACAAUCUUUUCGAACUAAAAAUGCUGUAUUCUUCGCAUUCACGUACUCCGUACGGCCAUCUGCUAAUGUCUCCCACCAACCGUCAUAACAUAAUUGAAGUACAACGGAAUCCAUUAAACCUAAAAAAAAAAACAAAAGAGAUAAGAUUUCACGCUACAAAACCUAGUAAAAAUGAAUAUGCAGUACAUUUAUGUUGAUGAAAUGAAGUAUACAAUUUUGGAUUUACUCCGUCUCAUCGUAAGUUUCGAAAUGAUAUAUUAUACGCCUAAAACGGACACAUGUAGCCCAAGUUAUUACUUUCGGAAAAUAACUUUAAUUUAGUGAGACAGGCAGUGGGACAGGUGCCUGUCUCACAUAAAACCAGCAGAUUUAUGUGAGACAGGCGCCUGUCCCACUUGCCUGUCUCACAUAAAACCAGCAGAUUUAUGUGAGACAGGCGCCUGUCCCACUUGCCUGUCUCACAUAAAACCAGUGGUAACAAGUGAGACAGGCGCCUGUCCCACUUGCCUGUCUCACAUAAAACCAGUGGUAACAAGUGAGACAGGCGCCUGUCCCACCUGCCUGUCUCACAUAAAAUCAGUGGUAACAAGUGAGACAGGCGCCUGUCCCACUUGCCUGUCUCACAUAAAAUCAGUGGUAACAAGUGAGACAGGCGCCUGUCCCACUUGCCUGUCUCACAUAAAACCAGUGGUAACAAGUGAGACAGGCGCCUGUCUCACACGCCUGUCCCACUUGCCUGUCGCACAUAUUUUGGUGAGACAGGCAAGUGAGACAGGUGCCUGUCUCACUUGUUCUGGGCUUCUGUUUUACUCGAUUUGCAGGGGUUUCAAUCAUUAAUUUUCAUUUCUCAACUCAAACUAACUACUUUAACAAGUCACAUUGUUUUGUUAAUGAAAAAUAACAACAUUUGCAAUAAAAACUCACUUCAAUUUCGAAUUCAAAUGAUAAAAUCAAUAGAUUAAAAGUUUAGGUUAUGGUAAGAGUAUAAACUAACCUUAAGAAGCUCUCCAAUUGAUAAUUAUAUCUUCAAUUAUGUAAUACUUGUUUGAUGAAAUUUGCUAAUUUAUUGAGAGUAAUGGAGUUUGUUGAGUGAUGAAAUUUGUUAAGUUGAAAAGGAAAGAGUGGUGGAAGUGCUGGAAUUGAAAAGGGAAAGUGGCAUGCCUUUGUAAAUUUGAUGAAAAUGAUGAGGGUAAUGUAGUCCAAAAAUAAGGUGUUUGGCUAGUUAUGAUAGAAAAAAGUUGGAGGGGUUAAAGUUGAAAAAUGCCUAAUUUUUUUGGCUAUUUUUGUAAAUUUCCCAUUAACUUUUAAUAGAACCUGAAAGAACACUAUUAUUCUACGAACUAAGAUUGGUUUUAAACACCAGAUAGAUUAUAAUAUCAAUAAUUAUAGUAAAAAUAACAACAGUUAAUAAAUAUAGUAAUUAAUUAAUUAAAAAUCAAGUCGCACCUUCUUCGGCUUCCAGAAUGAUAGAGCUUGACUCCACCAAUGAAGAAAUAAAGCAUAGGAUACUCAUGCAGGUUAUACUUCUCUCUUAACUCUUGCUCAACAAAAGUAUCAACCAUAGCGAAAGCAGCUUCACCUUUCAACAUUUUCGCCGCCGCCGCAUACUCGGGAACCAUUUUCCAGCACGGCGGGCACCAUCUCAUGUAGAAAAACACCACCACAUGCCUAUUCUUUGCCAGGAAGUCACUGAAAUUCUUCCCACUCAGAAUCACCACAUCUUGAGAGUACUCAGCUGCCCAUGCAGCUACUUCACGCAGAUUGCAUGAUAUUUUGUUAAAAUUACCUUCUCCAAAUAAUAGGUCAAAGUCGGUGUCGUUUUGGUAGUUAUCGGAUUUGAUGAAGGUUGUGAGAGGUUCUUUAAAAUUAUGAUGCUGAUUGUUAUUAUUGGUUUGGUUGUCAUUGUUACUUGGCGAUGAGUGGUGACCAGAGUCUGAGAAAGCUGGAUUGAAAAAGAGGAUUGAAAGGAAUAUAAGUAGAAGAGUUGUUUCUGUUGCCGAGGCCAUAGAUGAUUAAAGAUUCAAAGAUUCAGCAUGCGCUGAAGAAGGAAGAUGAUGAAGUUGAGAAAUUGACUUUGACUAUAUUUAAUUAGGUUUCCAGCUCAAAAUCUUGACUCACGAAAAGAGUAAUUUAUGAUAUAAGAUAUGAGAAGAUUUUUGGUGCUUUUGUAGCAUUGCUCUUCAUUUAUGCAUGCAAUAUUCAUCGUAUGUAUACGUAUAUUAUUAUUAAUAUAAACCAUUUGUCCUCUGAUUGAUUGAUUUUUAUAAUAGCCAAUAACUCCAUGACAAUAUAAGUUUAUAAUAUUAUCCUUAUUUUUAAAUGUCAUUUUAUUUAUGUUUAUUAUAAAUUAAAUAAAUCACAUGAAUAUAAAUUAAAAUAAAAAAUUAAGUACUAAAAAUAAGAAACACAUGUUUUGAUGUGAAAAAAAUUAAUAAUAAAAUAUUUUUCUUGUUUUUUUUUAUUUUAUAAACAUUUUCUUAUAAUAAACAUGUAAGAAAAAUGAUUAUAAAAUGAUAAAAAAAUUAUUAUAGGAAACUUGAAUGAUAAAUAAAAAUAAUUAUAAAAUAAAUAAUGAAAUAUUUUUCUUGUACUUUUUACAUUUAAUUUUAAAAUAUUUAUUAGAAGAAAAUAUUUACAAAAUAAAAAAGUACAAGAAAAAUAUUUUAUUAUUUAUUUUUUUUGUUUACAUUAAAACAUAUAUUUCUUGCUUUUAAUACUUAAAAUUUUUAUUUAGUUUCUAUUCAUAUGAUUUGUCUAAUUUAUAAUAAAUAUAAAAAAAGGUAUUUGAAAUAAGGGUAAUAUUGUAAACUUAUAUUGUCAGGGGAGUUAUAGACUAUUAUAAAAAAAAUAGGGGCCAAAUGGUAUAUAUUGAUUAUAGUAGGGAAAAAUUGGCAAUCUCCCUUAUUAUGUAUAGAAAUACAUUAAUUCAGUAAAAAAAUGUGAAAUUUGUAGAUAUAUGGAUAUAAAAUUUUCUUAUAAAUUUUCAAGUACUUCGAAGAAAGUUAUGCGAAUUGGGCAGGAACAACAUUGUGGGUUAUGACUUUUUCAGUCCAAUGAUAUGAGGCUUUUAUUAUUUAUGCAUUUCUAAAAUAAUUUUAAAUCAAUAAAAUAACAUUUCCAAGGACAAAUUUCAAACAAGAUUACCAAAUACCAAACCAAAAUUUAAAAUGGUAGGAAGGAAAGACUCAAGACAAGACCUCCAUAACGGGGAUCUCUCCCACUUAAGUUUACUCCCUACAAAUAAAAAUUGGGUAUCUUUUUUUUUUUUUAAAGAAAAAAUAAAAUAAGAGUAAAUCAGGAUCUUUAUUGGUGCACAUUUUUAAUUAUUUUUAAUAGAUCUCGCUAGUUGAAAUUGAAGGUAGUUUUUGCUAUGUUAGUUAAUUAUGUUACUUUUUGGUUAGGUGGCAAGCUGAGUUAGCUAAUGUGGACUAACAAGUGGUUAAUUUGUUACAACCAACAACUAGAUAAAUGGGCUGCAUAUAAAGUAGGGUGAAGGCUGACUGUUGCUGCAUCUUCAAUCAAUUUUUUGAGAGGCUUAGAGUGUGAGAUAGAAAAUUGUUACAUGAGAGAUUUAAUUGUUUUACUUUGUAGUUUCAUUAUAAUUGAUUAGUUCAAUAAAAGCUUCAAGCCCUACUAGGUUCUUUAGCCGUGAAUGUAGGUACGAUCGUACUGAACCACAUAAUCUUUCGAGUGUUGUUCUUCAUUGCUCUUCUUCUGUUCUUGAUUAAUUACUUUCAAUUUUUUUUUCUAGGUCAAAGCUCUUUGUUAUUGAUUGAUUGAUUUAGUUAAGAAUCAAGUUAUGGAGUUUCAUAACAAAUUGGUAUCAGAGCCUUGAACCUCUAUGUUCUUGAUCUUCGAAUGGCAAGUACCAAAUUUGAUCUUGAAAAAUGCAAUGGUGAGAAUGACUUCUACUUAUGGAGUCUUAAGAUGUGUGCAAUUUUGAUUCGACAAGGGCUUGAUAAUGCUCUUGAAUAUGAUGAAGACAAAAAACGAAAGAAAAAGAAGGGAGAUGGUUCUUCAAGUUUAGGUGGGGACAUGAGAUCCAUAAACAAUAAAGCUCACAACACCAUCAUCUUGCAUCUUUCAGAUGAAGUGUUGAGAGAAGUGGCACAUGAAAAAUCUACCUUUGGUUUAUGGUCAAAAUGUGAAGAGCUUUUCUUAAGGAAAUCAUUGGCCAAGAGGUUAUAUAUGAAGAGGAAGUUGUACACGUUCUCAAUGAAAGAGGGGAGAACUAUGAAAGAUCAUCUAGAUGAGUUCAACAAGCUAAUAUUGGAUCUUGAGAUUGUUAAUAUCAAUCUUGAAGAUGAAGAAAGAGCUCUUAUUCUUUUGAGCUCACUUCCAGAUUCGUAUGAGCAUUUUGUGGGCACUUUGUUAUAUCAAAGACAUGUUAGUUGUACUUAUUAUCAACUCUAAAACAAGACUUAAAAGAAAAUAAUAAUAAUAAUAACAACAACGAUAAUAGUAAAUAUAAAUUAAUCUAACUAAAGAAAAAGCCAACUAUAAAUAAAAAUAGAGGGUUUUAUAAAAUUUUAACUAAAUAGUAAGAAAUAAAGAAAGUAAAACAACGAAAAUAAUAAUUUAUUAAUUAUGAUGAGAACUUUGGUUAAAGGAUCAUUCACACCACCAAACAUGCACAUAAUAUAUCAAUUCUAUCAUCAAUUUCUAUUGAAACUAUUAAUCGUCGACAACAAUAAACUCUGUUAAUCUCUAUCUUUCCUUAAUAAGCCGUCAGUCAAAAUAAGCUCUUCACCUAAUCUCUAACCAUUAAAUAAUUUUAAAAAAUCUCUUUAAAUUUAAAAUAAUGGAAGCAUAAAGUAGAGAAAAAUAUUAGGUUGAUCUAGGCAAUAAACACACAAGCUUGCAUUAUUUAACUUAGGUUAUGUUCUCCAAUUGAAAUCAUUGAUUCCAACCUGCUACUAAUGAUUAAAAUAUCAAGACAAUUACAAACAAAGAAUUUUAAUCUAGUGAUAGAAUUUAUUCAAAUCCUAUUUAAUUGGCCAAUCAAAUAAGAUAAUAAUAAGAUCAUAAAUAUUAAUUAGAGAAGAACAUAAACAAAGGGAGAUUGCCAAUUUCCCCCCACAGUAAUCAAUAUAUACCAUUUUCCUUCUGCUUUUUUUUUAUAAUAGCCAAAAACCCCCCUGAUAGCAUAAGUUUACAACAUUACCCUUAUUUUCAACUACUCUUUUAUUUAUUUUAUUAUAAAUAAAAUAAAUCACAUGAAUAGAAACUAAAUAAAAAAUUAAGCAUUAAAAAUAAGAAAUAUAUGUUUUGAUAUGAGCAAAAAAAUUAAUAAUAAAUUUUUUUUCUUGUACUUAUUUAUUUUGUGAAAAUUUUCUUAUAAUAAAUAUAUAAGAAAAUAAUUAUAAAAUGAUAAAAAAUUAUUAUAAGAAAACUUGAAUGACAAAUAAAUUUUUUUUAUAAGAUAAAUAAUAAAAUAUUUUGCCUAUACUUUUUACAUUUAAUUUUAAAAUAUUACACCAUGUUUAUUAUAAGAAAAUGUUCACAAAAUAAAUAAUUAUAAGAAAAAAAAUUUAUUAUUAAUAUUUUUUUCUCAUAUCAAAACAUAUAUUUCUUGUUUUUAAUACUUAAUUUUUUUAUUUUGUUUCUAUUCAUGUAAUUUAUUUAAUUUAUAAUAAAUGUAAAUAAUAGAGUAGUUAAAAAUAAGGGUAAUAUUGUAAACUUAUGUUGUUGGGGGGUUUUUGGCUAUUAUAAAAACAGUAAGGGGUAAAUGAUAUAUGUUAAUUACUGUAGGGGGGAAGUGGCAAUCCCCUUAAAUAAAUUGAAUGAUAGAAAUUGAAUAUUAAUCAUAUGACAUGUUUAGGUUUUGAAUUCACAUUUAAUCAAAUAAAAUAUCUAGUCUAAAAUAAUUGAAUUGGAAAUAAGAGAGGUGAUAAAAUCAGUCAUGGAGAUUAAUCCAAGCAGCUGCCUCUGGCUCUCGGGUUUGAGCUGAUUCCUCCUUUUUUUUUUUUUUUUCCCCUUCUUGCGGCUUCUGUUGUGUGUGUUUGGCCCCAAAAGCCAAAGGUUGGUUUUUAAUAACGCUUGGCCGAAUCCAAUUUAGAUUCUAAUUCCAAUUUAAAGCAACUAAUUCCAUAAUAGCCAUGCACCCACCGACUUUAGCUUAGGCAAGACUUAUGCAUGCAAUCUUUUUAAAUUGGUCACAUGCAUAUUGCAUCCAACUUAUAAAGCCAUGCACGUGCAUUCAGUGGCGGACUCAGGAAAUAAAUUCAGAAGGGACUUAAUAUAAAUUAAUAAAAAAAAUUCGACAAGAUAAUAAAAGCCAACUAAAAAAAUAAUAAGUAAAAUAUUCAAUUUUAUUGACAUAAUCAUUUUUAAAACGUCUUCAACUGUUCUCGACGUGUUUUCAUAUUUUGAAAACGUCAAAUAAUAUCUUCAUUGUCAAUACAAGCAAAUACAUCUUUUUCUAUGUAUACAACUAAGUUAUCAUUCAACCAUUGAUCACCCAUCCGGUUUCGAAGUCGAUUCUUCACAAAAUUCAUGGCUGAAAAUACUCUUUCUACAGUGGCAGUAGCUACAGAUAGAAUUAAAGCCAAUGUAACCAAUUGGUAAACUAACGGGUACACCUUAUCCUUUUUAGUCUUAACCAUUGUCCUUGCAAGUUCACCAAUCCCUUUCAAUUCUGAAAAUUCUACACUAGAUUGUAAAUCUGUAAUGUAUACAUCAAGUUGCAUCUCAAGUGCUAUAAGAUCUAUUGCAGAAAAAUCUUUAGGAUAAAAUUCAGCAAGUUGCAGUAAUUUUUCCUUGUCAAAAGCUGCAAACAAAUCAUUUGGACAUAGACAAGCCAAACAAAUAAGCAACUCAGUAUUUGACUCAUUGAAACGAUUAUUUAGCUCUUGAAGUUGCAUGUCUAAGACAACAUAAAAUAACUCAACUCGAUACUGAUGUAAAUUUAUGAUCUCUCGAGCUUUACGGCGUGAUCGCCCUGGAAUUAAAAACAAAUCAUCCAUAUCUAAAACAUCGAUAUCAUGCUUGCUACAGAAAGUAGAAACUUGACCAAAUAAAGAAUCCCAUCCACUAUCUCUCAACUUCUGAAGGUUAUGCUUAUAAACUUCAACCAAUUUUACAGCAUUCAAAUUAUCUUGAUCUUUCCUUUGUAGUGCUCGUGACAAUUCAUUUGCAUAGCCAAGAAUAUUUUUCAUUAAGAAUAAACAAAAUACGAAAUCAAAUGAUUGCAUCAACAUCAAUAGCGUUUUAGCUUGAAAUCUUUGUUCGGAAUUUCCUUCAACUUCAAUUAUCUCAAGCACAUCAACCACAGAUGGAAACAUAGAAAUUAUGCUCAUUAACGUACCAUAAUGAGAAGACCAGCGUGUAUCAGUAGGACACUUGAAAGUAAUCUCCUGAUUCAAACCUUGUCCACUUGAAAGCUUGCCUUUACCUAAUGCUUCAAUAACUGCAAGAGCAUGUUUCUCAUGUAGAAUGUCACGACGUUUAGCUGGCACUCCAACAACAUUAACUAGCAUUGAAACUAAAUUGAAUAAAGAAUUAACUUCCUCAUGCUUUUUUGCCACGGAAAUAAGAGCCAACUGAAGUUGAUGAGCAAAACAGUGAACAUAAUAAGCAGAUUCAUUCUCCUCUAAAAUGCGCGUUUUCAAACCAUUAAACUCACCCUGCAUAUUACUUGCCCCAUCAUAACCUUGCCCACGUAACAUUGACAAACUCAAUCCAAACCUUGAAAACAUAUUAUCAAGAGAUUCUUUAAGUGAGGCAGCUGUAGUGCUAGAAACAUGUUCAAUGCCUACAAAACGUUCAACCACAUAUCCAUUCUUAUCCACAUAACGUAAUACAACAACCAUUUGCUCUUUUGUAGAUAUAUCACGAGACUCAUCAAUUAGAACAGAAAAUAAUGCAUCAUCUAUCUCUCUAAUAAUAGCAUUAGUAGUUUCAGUUGCAACACAACUUACAAUGUCUUUUUGGAUAUUUGGAGAUGUCAUUUGCAGAUUUAGAGGAGUAUUUUUGAAAGUAACAGCAUUAAUAUCUUCAUUAUGAUAAGCAAGGAAGUGUAAAAGCUCAAGAAAAUUCCCUCUAUUGCUUGAACCAUCAGACUCAUCAUGCCCACGAAAUGCUAGCCCUUGAUUUAAAAGAAAUCGAAUACAAUCAACAACAGCAUUCAAGCGAGUUUCAUAUUCACUUUGAGUUUUCUCGGAUUGUCUUUCAAAAAAUGUUGCAAUAUGUUGUUUCUAAUUCAUCAACCUUUCACAUUUCUGCCUAACUCGGUUAUGGGCACUAUUGACACCUCCUUCAUGAAUCUUUAAUUUUUCUUUCUUUUUUUUCCAAUUUUUAAAUCCUUUCCCAGUAAAAGUAUCACUGCCUGCUUGAUCACCAUUAUCUUCUUUGAAAAUAAAAAAGACAAUAUUCAGACUCUUCUUUUAUACUAUAUUCCAACCAAGAACCAAAUUCUUUGAACCAAUCCGAAACAAAUCGUCGUUGUUGAUUUCCAAAUUUCUCAAAUUUAAAAUUGUGCCCCUUAGGUUGAAAAGGACCCCUUUGUAAGUAUGUUCUUCGAACUUGAUCUCGAAUAUUACAAUUAUAACUAUCAAUACAAGGUCGUAAGCCAGGGUCAACAUGCAAAUUUUGUAAAUUGACUUCAUAUGAACCAUGACUAGUUCCCUCUAAAGGAGAUGGGAGCUGUGGUUUCUUUUUUUAAAAAAUUUCCAUAUCUGUUUCAAAUCAAAUAAAACUAUUAAUUAUUAGAUUAAAUUUCACAAUAAGGCUAAAUCCUAACAAAAUAACGAACAAGAAUAAUUAAUUUAAUACAAAUUUGAUAUUAUAAAAAUAUUAUUUGACAACACACUCAAUGGGGCUCACGGGAAAGAUACAUGAUUGUAAAUUUUACUUUUUCAAUUGCUCAUUUAUUUGCAUUAACAAAGUGAUUGCUUUUAUAAUUUAUAUAAUAAAUUAUACACCACUUUCAUCAUUUUACAGAGCACCCACUGUCUCACCACUUUCCCUUUCAAUUUUAAUAUUAAAGAAUCGCUCACUUUUCACAAAUCAACUUUUACUUUUGGAAUUUUGUAUAUAGCUAUCAGAAUAAGAAUUGAUGAACGAAGUUAAGAGAGAUGCAGCACAUUCAUUCGGCCAGAAUCAUUAGUCAAACUUCAAAACAAUAUUCAAGCACAAUACCUGUUUCAAUCUAUGAGCUAUGGUUGAUCUAGCAAGGGACGAAAUCAUGAAAGGCUCAGCGAUCGCGGCGACAAAUAACAACGAGUUGGUGGCAGACUAGCAGCAUGAAUGGAAACGUUCGUCGGUGGCCAGUCUUCGUGAUUUGGUGAUUCACAGUUUCAUGAUUUUGGGGUUUGUUUUUUUAUUCCUUUAAUUUUUUUUAUUAUUAAUAUAAAACGAUGAGUUUUGUAAGUUAGUUUUAAAUUAUAAUUUGAUUAAAUUAAAAGUUUUUAUUAUUUAAAUGGAUUUAAUUUAAAAACCCAAAAUACUUUGUUUUUGUUGAGAAAAGUCCAAAUUAUUUAAUAUAUUAGUAUUGGACUUAAUAAUUAGAAGGGGCUUUACAGUCUAAAUUUAAAAAAAAAUUAAGGCUCAAGGGGGCCUUAAGCCCCUCGUAGGCCUCAAUUGGGUCCGCCACUGCGUGCAUUCACUUAGAAUCACAUUAGGAUUUGAAUUCCUUUUUUAUUGCCAUGCACAUGCAAUUGCCAAAGUAAAUUGUUUAUUUUCCAAUAAUGCAUGUCCAUUCGAAGUUUGAGGAAAAUGACUUCCGAUUUUGGUCUUCAAAUUCUUGUUGGCCACAACUUCUUGACUUUAUUUUCCCUUUUCUUUUAAUUGAUUUCCAAUUUAAUCUUGAUUGUUUCUGAAAUUGAACUUCUUUAUGUCCUUUUUAUCCAUAAUCUUCACUUAAUUCCUAUCAAAUAAAAUAAUAUAAUUAAGUAGCAAAUAUUAAAUUAAGAAUAAAAUCUACUAAAAUAAAAGAGAUUAAGAAAAAAAUUAACAUAAUAAACUAUAAUUUAAUAAAACAACUAAAUUAAAAAUUAACUAAAAUAAAUAGAAUAUUUAAGACCAAAAAAAAAAAGAUGGAGAAAUUAAUAGUAAAAUAUAGAGAAAAUAUGCACUUAUCAAAUUCCCCCACACUUAACCUUUGCUCAUCCUUGAGCAAACCUAGAAAUAAGACAAGAAAAAGACUUAAACUAGUCCAGUUUCGUAGGAAAUCACGAUUGCAUUUAGCAUAUGUAAUAAAUCUUUAAACCCAUAGGAGGCUCUAGUGGACGAGUUAUAGUCUCGUGAGAAUUUCAGUGAUGACACCCACAAAGAUCAUUUUUUUUUUUUUGUAAAACAACAUGAAAAUAAAACAUAAAACUAGCCUCAAAGAUUGCAUAAAUCAUAUAGCUAAAAGAAAAUUUAAAAUAUUGUUGAAGUUCUAACUUUAAUUCAAUCAUCUAUUCCAUCUCUCUUUUGAUUUUUGUAGUGUGUGUCAAUAAAUUCAAUUAAAAUUCAUUCCCAAAAUCUUCAAUAUCAACAUCAUUUGACUUGAACAAAGAAAAUGACAUAUCAAAGUAAUCUUAUCAUCUUAAUUUCUUUUUUUUUUCUUUCCAUAGGCAUUUAUGUGCAUUUUCUUUUUAUCACAUUCAUUUGAUUGAUUUUUGUUUAUUAUUAUUAUUUUUUUUAUCAAUACCAUAGUCAAGAGUUUUCACUCUACCCCUUAAUAAAGCCUCCUUCUCAUGGUAGACCAUCCUCUAUAUAUUGGUGGUACAUAGACCCAAAUUACCAAGGAUAACUUUGUUCUUAAGGAUUAUUGGUAGUUAUUUCUAACUAUGGUGUCUGUCUAUGCCACACUAUAUUGUGGAGAUAAAAAUCAAGACAAAUAAUCAUUUACUCAAUCUAAAAUUCUCAACUUAGGCUGUGAAGAAUUUCAAAUUUUAAGUCAAAAUUAUAAAAGAAUUGAUAUUGGUGCUCAUGAUGUUUAAAGAAUCUCAAUUAAGAGGAAAUCAACACAAGAAUUAAGUAUAAACAAGGCAAUAUUCAACCCUUUGUAAGAACCAUAUUCAUUGUUAAUCAAGUUCUUAUCAUUGGCUUCUAUUCAAGACAAACAAUGUUUUUUUUGUGUUUUUUUUUUUUGAAAAAGAAAAAGCCAAAGCAGAAAAACUAAGUUCGAAAUCCUCCCUCCAACACUUAAUUCUUAUAUUGUUGUAAGCCUAAUGUCACGGGAUGAGUGUUUUACGCAGCAAACCCAUGCGGCACUUAGAUAACUUUGUCAAAUGUUGCUAAGUAAGUAUUUAUUAAGCACAUUAGAGUUAGAAUUUAAAAGCUAUAGUUUCCAACAAUAAUUAAACAGGGCGAAUAUCUAAAAACAAGUCUAAUAGAAAAAUUUUUUAUUUCUAGAAAUAGAAAAUUUUUUUAUUUCUAGCAUGUGCUAUGUAAUUUUUAAGGAUUUGAAGUUACAGCAGCAGAGGAAAGAAAAUAAUUUAAAAAAGAGAAAUGCUUUAUGAAAUAAUUUGCUUGCAUCCUUUAUUCAAACAGCUUUAGGCUUUUUAUAAGAGCCAAUUGGAAACACGCAAUCUACACUAGUAACUGCACUUGGAACAACAAAAGACACCCAAGACAAUAACAUAUGAAGUACGAGAAAUAAUAGGAAAUAUGGGUAAUAAUAUUGCACACAUAGUUAAUAGAACACGUGUCAAGCACCCAUUUAUUUCAAAGCUCUUAUUACUAAGUCCUAGACUCCUCUUCUCAAGCACAUGGCUAUCAGGAACGUGGGAAGCUUGUUAAAUGCAUGGGUUCUUGCUCGUCUUUGGGAGACAUAUAGGCAUGCUUGGAAAGAGAUACACGCAAGACAAUCAACACAAGAUUUACUUUAUUUCUAGGAUGCAUGGCCGCAUGGGCAUGCACUCUACUUAUAGAACUCCAUAACCCAGAGAUUACCAAUAGCACGUUCACAACUGAUCCCACUAAAACCAGCGCCAGUAGCCAGGGUCAUGAAUUCAUGUCUUGUUCUCUCCUUUCCACCGGGACUUUGAAUCAUCAUAAGCACGUCAGAAUCGGAAUUUGAUUUUGAUUCAAUGCUUGUAUUAGGAACUUCUGGAAGCAUUAACUCCACAGCGAUUACCUUUCCAUCUUCUGGAAUGCUUUUGUAGCAAUUCUUCAACAACUUUAAGCAAUGUUCAUCAUUCCAAUCGUGCAGUAUCCACUAUAUAAAAAUUCUCAUAUUAAUCAAACUAUUGUUUGUAAAAAUUUAAUUGAAGGAACUCCUCAUUAUAUGUCCGCAAAUUAAAUUAAAAACUUACCUUCAAAAAAAUGGCAUCACCUUUUGGAACACUUUGAAACAUAUCACCCCCUACAUGCUCAAUACCUGUAAAAUAUUAUACAAUUAAGAAAUUAGACAAUUAGAAUUAUGCCACUCUAUUUUCAUUACGAAAAUGUCUGUUGUUCAAAUUCAAUUAUGCCAAUGUUAUGGAAGUUCCUGGUAUACAGGCAUACUCAUGAAUGUCCUCAUUUUUUUUUUAAAUAUAGAUUCGGAGUUUUACAAGAUUUUCACAAUAGUAAACCAUUGAAGAAUAUAUAUAUAUAUAUAGGGCAGGUGCCCUCAUUUUUUUUUUUUAAUGAGGACAUGCUGUUAAACUGUGCAAUUUAAUGGCGUUCUUCAUUAAUUAUAUUAAAUCGCAAGGCUUAACAAAAUGUUUACAUUAAGAAAAAAAAAGAAAUGAGGGCACCCGUCUUAGAGAAAGACACAAUAUACAUAUACACAUACAUUAGUAGUUUUUUGGUAAGGGAUUUUAAAGUACAGGAAAGUCCGGGAAAGAUUUAAAAUCGGACGGUUUUAAAGGCUUACAGUUUUAAGCCUUUAAAACCAUGCAGUUUUAAACCUUUCUGGCACUUUAAAAUUUCGGACUGGAACAUUUCUCAUACACACACACACACACACACACACACACAUACAUACAUACAUACAUACAUAUAUUUUAUGAGAGUUCAUGCACUUUAUUAAAGUGCAGGAAAAUUAUGCUCUCUCUGCUCCCUUGGGCUUUCAUAUUUUCCAUAACCCCCCUCCUGGUUUGGCUUAUAUUAUCACUCAUGAUAUGUAUGGGGUAGCUUAUCCCCGUCUAAUUUUAUCCUAGCUCUUUUUAGAGCCCCUUUGUAAAAAAAAAAAAAAGUGCAAGAAAUUUGUUACGACGUAUGGUAUAAUAGUGUAAUGUCCCGAUAAGUAGUACUAUCUAUAACAUGAGAUUAAUAACCAUACAUGGAUGUGGUGGGACAUGCUCAAUAACAUGAGGCAGGUCGAAAUUGAUGCCCUUAAUAUAGGGGUACUUGGUAGUGAUGGCUUGAAGAGUAACGCCGAUACCGCCACCAACAUCGACCAGUUGCUUGAUGUUGUCGAAGCCCUUGUAAGAUUCAAGAAUGUUGCUCAUGACCAGAGAGGUAUAGUUAUACAUUACUGUGUUAAAAUGUUUAUUGAACCCAGGGUCCAAUCCUGCGUACUCAAAUGUAUGCAUUCCAUGGGCUCGAUUAAAU